AAAUAAAAAAGUAACGAGAGAAGGAUGGCCGAGGUGGCUAAAAAUUUAGGAGCUUAGUCUUAGCUAUUUAGGUUUUAGGGUAAAACUUAAUAUAUAUAUAUAUAAAGGUAAUUUCGUAAAAACCUCAGGAUGACCGAGUCUAAGCAAAAUCUGACUUCCAUCCUAACUAUUUUUCCAACUUCAAUUUUAAAAAAAAAAUUCCGACCCUAACGGAAUGAGUUGGGAUUGUCGGUUUUGAGUUUUUUUUUUUGCCAUCCCUAUAGACAACAUUUAUAAUUUAAGGGUAAACACAUAUAAACGCUUUGUUGAUGUGGACAUCAAUGAGUGAGUGCUCUACCUGCCAAACUUGGUACCAUCCGAUCCGAAUGCGGCCUAGUAUGAAUUUGGUAGAGGAGCUGUCCUUCUAGCCUUCCUUCUCUGAUUAUGAUACCUACAAUGGAUAUAUCAAUUAUUAGGCUAGAAUUUAUGUAGACAUCAGAUUAUUUAUUCACCUUGAUGAUGAGUUCAUUUACACCUUAUCUUGUUUGAUUCAGUUUAAUAUUGAUUUUCAGAAGCAUUUUUUAUCAAAAAAUACUUUUGAGCAAAAGUUAAAAUUUUCUAUUUCUAUUUAUAACCAAAAAAAUACUUUUGCAAAACAUUUUUUUGUCCCAAAAACACUUUUGAAAAAUUCAAAAGCUUCUUGUUUAACAAUACUUUUAUCUCAAAAGUAUUUUUGGCUAAUUUACCUAUAAAGGCCUAUUUCCAAGUAUAUUUAUGGAAAUGGACCAAUUUCUGCAUUAUUUACUGGAAAUGGCUGAUUUUGGCAAAAUGCAUCCAUGAAGGAGCGUUUAAUGGUGAAAUUUCAGCGAAACGUGCCCCUAGCGGAGCAAUUUUGCCAUGUCAGCACAAAACGAGCUGACGUGAUCGUGUUUUGCUGAUGUGGCAAAAUCGUUCCCCCAGGGGCGUGUUUUACUCUGUGUUUUUUUAGGUUAGGGCUUUUUUCAUAUUUAUUCCUAGGGUUUUUUGGUUUAGGAUUUUUAGAGUUAGGGUUUUGUUAAAAUAAUUUAGGGUUCUAGGUUUUAGGAAUUUUAAAAAACAAAUCAGAAUUUAGUGUUCUUUUUUAAAAAUUAAUUAAAUUAGGGUUUAGGAUUUAAAAUAAAUUAAAUUAAAUUAAGGUUUAGUGUUUUUAAGAAAAUUAAUUAAAUUAGAGUUUAGUUUUUUUAAAAUAAUAUCGUGUUUAUGUUUAGGGUUUAGGGAAAAUUAUAUUAACAAUAAGGAUUUUGUUUUUUUCUACAGUAGUUCUUGAAAAAAUAAUUUUGAGAAUACGGUUCUGAACAAAUAGUGUGAAAAAUGCUUCAAGUAGGAUGCACUAUCAGCAAAAUUAUUGAAAAAAACUUCCACGUGGACGCUCUUUUUCUACAGUAGUUCCUAAAAAAAUAAAUUUGAGAAGACGUUUCUAAACAAAUAGUGUGAAAAACGCUUCAAGCAGGAUGCACUGUUAGAAAAAUUGAUGAAAAAAGCUCCCACGUCGACACUCUUUUUCUACAGUAGUUCAUGUUUGGCCUUAGGCUAUAAAUGAACCAAAUUUCAUUCUCAGGUUGCAUAAGAUACAGUAAGAAAAAUUAGAGAGGCUAAGUAGAAUAGAAAUUGAAGACGAGUGAACGUAUUAGUGCUGUUAUUUACUAUGAUGGUGAGGUCCGUGACACCAAGAACGGCGUUACUUCUUUUUAUCAGAGAACACAACGUGACUGGUUUUUAACCAGACUAUAGAUUUGACAGAAUUUCGUAAAAGAAUUAGGCGCAAAAUCUUUGGAACGACGCCAAUAAUGGUUUCUUCUAUUAAGUAUCAAUUUUGUACUUCGAUUGAUCCCGUGACAUAUGACUCAUUUGAUAUCAAAGGUGGUCGUAGCUUUGAGGCGAUGGUGUAGACUCAUCUCACUAGUGGAUCACCCUAUCUUGAGUUAUAUGUAUAAUUUUUAUCGCCAAAUGAAACAUUUGCGACUUCAACACCUACUGCUAUUCGAGAGAAAUACAGGACCCCCACCCGACACUUCGUUAGUGGGAGGCAAAAUACCGAAGCGCCCGUGUUUGGUGGCAGUAUGGAAUACACAACUCUUGCAUGUCACUUGGUUAGUGGAUGGGACAUGCACAUCGGUGGGUCGUUGUUCGAUGCUGGAAAUACAUAUUGGGGAAUGACAUCAACUUCUACUGGCUGGCAAUCCACAUCUGAUUGGGGACAUUCCGAAACCUCUACAAGAAGGGAUGAUGCGCUCCCUAUGACGUCCACUGGCGAGGGGACCUCGUACGUUGUAGAUGAUGGUGGGUUGGAUGAUGAGUCUGAUGUUGAUCCACCUCGAGAGCCCGACCCUGAUGGUGCAGAAGUUGCAUUAUUUUUUGAAUCAGAGCCUGUUUCAUUCGAACCUGUGGACGUUAAAGGGAGUUCAGAUGAAGAAGACAAAAAUUCACGAUUCAAGGUGUACUCACCUCCAAGCUACAUGCAUAAUGUCGAUAUAUCGAAAAAUGAUGCGUUGAAGUUUCCAGAUCUACCACACAGAAAGUGUGAUAGUAUAAAUUCGUCAUUGGAUCGGGUGAAUUGGAAGUUGGUAAGGAGUUUUUUAAUAAGGAUAGUUUUCUUAGUGCAUAGAAACAACAUAACAUCAAUCACAACAUGGUUAAAUCUAAAUCUGAAAAGUUCGAGGCGAAAUGUACAAUGCAAGACGAUACAUGUUCAUGGAAAAUCAUGGCUUCUUUUAGGAAAAAGACAGGAUUGUGAGAGAUAAAAAAGUACUAAGGUCCACGUACCUGUGUUACCGGUACAAUAACACUGGGUGUUUCGGGUUUUUGAAUAAUAAUGUUAUUAUUUAAUGUUGCAUUAUUUAACGUACUUUGUUGACAAGAGUUUCACAAUAUCAUCCCAAGAUGGAUUCAGGUAUGAUAGCUAGCUUAAUACUACCAAUGUUAAAGGCAGGUCCUAGGACUUCUGUGUCGGUCUUAAUUGCCAAUAUUUGUAGCCAAUUAAAGUACACGCCCUCUUACCGCAAGGCUUGGAUAGCUAAGAAGAAGGCAUUGGAAAAGAUAUAUAGUGGGUGAGACGCUUCAUAUAACGAGGUGUAGUAGUGGUGUCAAGUGCUGGAGAGGUACGUCCCAAGUUACAUAACAAACCUUGAAACGGUCUCUGCGUAUUGCGUAUUGUCUAAGGCACGUUGCGUCCAACUACUAUGGGUACUAUCGGUCUACCACUAAACGAUGGUAAGUGAUUAACAUGGGUAUUUAAUCUCUAUUAAUAUAAUUUUGUUUGUAAUAUUCAAUUUAUUGCGAAUGGAAUAGUGGUAAUAAUUUUCGCUAUCAACUUAUACUGGUAGGGUACGAGAUCAAUAAGGAUCGUUUUCAUGAGAUGUUGGGGAUUUUGCGUUCAGUUAACGAUCAAGGCGCAGACUACCUUUGUAACAUGCCUUUCGAACAAUGGACACAAGCAUACGACGGCAGCCUACGAUAUGGUCAUAUGACCACAAACCUGGCUGAAUGCAUAAAUUCUGUUCUAAAAGGAACACGUCAUUUAGAAAUAAUCUUGGUUGUACGAGAGACAUAUUUUUGUUUGGAGGAACUAUUUCCAAAGCAAGCAGCGAGUUAUAAAUGCCAAAUGUAGGGGGCUAUGUAUGGUUCCGAAAGGUAUUGCAAGAAAUUAACAAGGCAAAUACACGUGCUAACACCAUGCACACAAUGUGUCAUGAUCGCGACAAUAUAUUGUUUUGUGUGACAGAGUUUGAUAGACCGAACUAAUGUAUUACCAGUGGGUAAUAUCAUGUACACUUGAGAAAUAGGACUUGUGACUGUGGGACGUUUGACACACUUCGUUAUCCAUGCGCUCAUGCAAUUACAGCUUGUCAAAAUCUCCGUUUGGAUCCCAUGAGAUAUGUCGACGAAGUGUACAAAAUAGAAUACAUGUACAAUGUGUGGAGACACGUAUUCCCACUGAUCCCAGAUGAACGUAAGUGGUCGUCUGUAUCACUUACUCCGUUUAAGUUGUUACCGGAUAGAAAAUUAUUUCGCAAACCAAAGGGUCGACCUUGCUCAAGUAGAAUACAUAAUAAUAUAGAUAUCUGGGAAAGAAUGAACCAACAGAAGUUGUGUGGAUGGUGUAGGAACUCAGGUCAUACAAUUCGAUCAUGUCCAAACCGAAAUAGUUGAUAAUUGCUGUAAUGAAACUAUGUUUCAUUAUUUCUAUGGUCUUAUUCAAAAGAACUUCUAUUUUUAAAAAAAAUAUAAAAAUAAUUAACUAUUAAAAUAUUUAUUUUAUUAAAUAAAAUAAUGUAAAAAUAGUUUGUACAAAUAUAUUAAAAAAUCAAUGUGUGUGAUGGUCGGAAUCAGUGCCACAUGGGGGUAGUCGACGAUUACGCGUUGAAUUCCUCAUUGGUUCAGCUUUCAGCGGGGGUUGUGGUUGCCCCGGUGGGGUUGUGAUUGCUCCGGUUGUUGGUGUUGGGAGGAUGACCUACCUUAAUAGAAUAAAAAAUGUGGAGGUAUUUGCAUCACCUACGAUGGAGGUGUUUAAAUCCUAAAAGGCGAUAGGGAUUGGUAAUGAGAUGAGCUCCCCGACGGUGUCUCGUGCAAUCCCUCCGGUGACGAUGACAUAUAUAUCGUUAGUUGAGUCGAAGUCAUCGAGAAAGGAGAUGUACCGGGCCAUGCAUUCCAAUCUGACAUAGGACUGUGAAAAGGAAACAUAUAAUUGUUAUGAUACAUAUAAGGGCUAAGAUACACAUCUGGCAUAAUCUGAAGGGGCUGCAGUGUGGGUGUCAUCAGUUGAGGCGUUGGGUCUGGUGAUUGUGUGUGCAUUGUUGAUGGACUCGUGCCGUCAUCUCUUCUCCUUAGAUUUAAAAAGUCCCGUCGUUCCCUUUCAACAUGAAUUUACCGCCAUCUUUGCUCUUCCGACAACAAAUAUGACUUGCCAUGGAUCCUAAACCAUAGCAUGUAAUUCGACGUACACGCUAACUUUGGAACGAUGAUCGAUUUGCGAGUAGGUAUAUGAUCAUACUGAUUUUCUCAAAUUUCGAUAUAUUCUGAGAAGAAUAUCGGCCAAUUCGUAUUCGUUUUUCGUAAGUUAAUUUUGUACUCUUUAUCGAACACCUUAGGUGCCCCGGAAAUCGAUUUUCGAAAUCCAAAUUACCGCAACACUCUAUCCAUAUAGUGUAUCUCGACAGUAGCAUAGUUAACCAAUGAGACCUUAACAUGCCAAAUGUUCAGAUUUGAAAGAAUUCAUCUGGAAUUACUGCCCGAAUUGUCGGAUCCUCGUAUAGUAUCCAUUGAAACUAUAUGAACAUGAUAAGAAUAUUAGUUAUAUGCAUAAACUAAAUACUAAAUAUGAAACGACUAUUUUAUGUAUAUAUGUUCUAUUUAAUACUUACUUGCGCUUCCGACCGUUGGCCUAAUAGAAGUUGUACAUCUUCAAAAGCGAUAGGUAUUCCAACAUAACUCGCCGGAUGGUUCCACUUAAUUAAAUAAAUUUUUAGCAUACAAUUUUAUUUUAAAUCUAUGUAAUAAUUGUAAAAUGAAAUAAAAAUUUUACCUCGUUAUGAGUGAGAAUGUAUAUGGGUGGUUCACUCGAGGACGUAAAAAUAAAAAGUGAAACCGAGCCCAUGAUUGUAGUAGUGAUAGACAACCUCUAAUUUUGGCUUUAUUUGGUGGCGUCGUCUCGCACAGCUCCCGGUAUAAUGUUGCCAACACGGUAGACCCCCAACUAAAUUCGCCAGCUGCUCUAAAAUCAACGAGUUUUAGCAGCCACCUCAGAUGUAUGAGGUUUCGUAACAAGUCCGGCAUCACAUAAGCUCUAAUCAUCUCAAGGAUGUAUGCUUGAGCAUAUCAUAUUCUUUCUACUUCAAUCGAAUCAUUCCUCGACUCUAGGAAUGUAUCUCGUAACCAGCCCAUCUCAAUCUGACCUCCUUAAAUAUUAUCCGGAAUCGCACCCAAAAGAUUAUAGCAUAUGGCUCCCCAAUCAGCAGAUUGAACGGACCCCGUGAAUGCGAACCUAUCCACUGACAAUCCUAAUUGUAACUACACGUCCUCUAAAGUGAUAGUACACUCUCCGCAUGGAAGAUAGAAUAUGUGUGUCUCGAGUCUCCACCUCUCUAUUUACGCGGUGAUGAGUUUCGAGUCCAACUUGCACCCCUGGCCUAUAGUGGCCACGUGUCAAAAACCUGCUUCCCUCAAGUAAUUUUCUAUCAACGGUGAUGGAGGACCAGACAUAUUAUGAAUAUAACAUUGUAACACCCGAUCUACAGACUGUUAUAAAAAAUUAUAGGAUACAAAUUAAUUAAAAUUACAUAAAUGAAAAAAUAUUAAAUAAUAUUCAAAAAUUAAAAUUAACCUUUACCAUUUUCAUUUGUUCGACGGAAAUAUGUUUAUGAUCGAGAUGAAUUAAUUCCCCGGCCAUUGCUAAUACGAUCAAAUAUUUUUGAAAUUAUAAAAAAAAUAAUACUAAUUUAGAAAAAAAAAUUAAAAGGAAAUAAUUAAUUAAAGAGAGCUUUGAGAAAUUUAAGGAGAAAUUUGAGAGCUUUGAGAAAUUUAGGGAUAAAAUUGAGAGUUUUUUUGCCAAAAUUUGAAGAAAUAUUGUGUGAAAUAAUAGGAGGAGGGUUUUCAUACGUUUUUUUGACAAUUGGACCCUCCAAUGGUCAAAAAAUAAAAUAGCCGUUGGGAAAAAAAACACGGAGUAAAGCGCGCCCUGGGGGAGCAAUUUUGCCACGUCAGCAAAGCGCGUUCACGUCAGCGCGUUUUGUGCCGACAUGGCAAAAUCGCUCCCCUAGGGGCGCGUUUUACUGAAAUUUCACCUUAAAACACUCCUACGUGGAUGCGUUUUGCCAAAAUCGGCCAUUUCCGGUAAAUAAAACAUAAAUUGACCCAUUUUCGUAAAUAUACUUGGAAAUGAGCCUUUAUAGGUAAAUUAGUCAGUAUUUUUUAUCCUAAAAUUACUUUUGAGAAUUAAUGCUAAACUUGCUCUUCAUCUAUCAUAUCAUUAUUCAUGUAAAAGCCCUUCGGAUGGUCAUGGUGCGUUUAAAAUCUUUUCCACUGGUGUUUGAAGAUCGAGGUAAUGGAUGAUGAUUCAGUUGAACACCCAUUGCAAUAAACUCCACCUUAUAAUUGUAGACAGUCGGGCUGAGGAAUGCAUUUGCCUCGAUGCUAUGGAUGAUGGAUAAAAUUUUACAUUUUUAUUUGUUUAAUUAGACAAACUUGAUGUUUAUUUUUAGUUAUUCAUUUUUUCAAAUCAAUUAACUUGAUUUUUUUAGAUAUCAUAUGGAUCUACAAAUAUUAACAAAUUAAAAAAAAUAGUUACAUUACAUUUGAAUUGGAUGACAUUGCAUUUUACAAACAACAAAUCAUAACAUCACAUUACAUUUUACAAAUAAAGACUCAUAGCACUAGAAAAAGUACUAGCAAUCUAGACUCAUAGCACUAGAAAAGUACUAGCAAUCCUUUCAACCAUGUCAUAUGAGUGUCUCAAGUUCAUCGAUGCCAUUGCUCUAAGUUGGACAUUAACUAAUUAGUUUGAGCAUUGGUAUGGUUUCAAAAACAUUGUCAAAAUUCUCAAAAAACGAAUGUUAUUUACUCCUUGAAUGAUAAUAAGAAUUGUUCAUGGGUCGUGUAACCCAAUUAGCCUGGUUAACUCAACUCAUUUUAGAAUAGACUUAAGACAACUCAAGAUUGAAAAAGAUAAGCCUAAGCACAUUCUAAAAUGAGUCAGGUCGAUCGAGUUGGUUGGGUUACAUAACCCAUGAAGGCAUGAAUACCUCUUAUUCCCAUUCAAUGAGUAAAUUACAAUUUUGUUUUUAAAUUUUGGCAAUGAUUUUGGAACCACAUUGGUGCUCAAAUUGGUCUGACUACUUGGUUUCCAGUUCAAACAGUCCAACCGGUUCAAAAUAAAUAAAAAUAUUAAAAAUUUAUAAAAAUCGAUUCCACUACUGAUUCAAACAAAUUUUUAGCCCAAUUCGACCAAUCUGUGCUGGUUCGCAAGUCAAUUGAUUUUUUUACCUCUCAUCAUAUAGAUACCCUAGUUGAUUCCUAGUUCAACUAGUUUGACUAGAUAGUCCUGCCUGACUUAGACAACAUUAAAAUUUAAAAUUUUCUAUACAUUUAAAAUUAUAUUUUUGAAUUUUAAAAAAUUUUUAUUUUCUUCAUAAUUAUAUAUUUUAAAAAUAUUUUUAAAUGUUUAUGCUUUUAUUUAAAAUAUGAAAAAAAUAUUUUAAAUAUUUUAUUUACUUUUAUAGGGUAAGAAUCAAUUUGACAUAAAACUAUAAAUAUUGAGAACUAAAAAAAAUAUUUUACCUUUUUUUAUAAUAGCCACUAAUAAUAAAAUUAGAUGAAGGAACCGAGAUUUUUAAAAAAAAUACAGGAUCUCAAUUUCUCAAGAUUAAAAUAUGAGGAUUAACUUUUAAAUUUUAAAAGAGUAUAGGGAUCUUUAACAAAUUUAAACCCAUUUUAUAAAUAAUGUUGUAAAGUAAAAGGUUAAGUGGGAAAAUAAUAAAAUUACCGUAAAGAGAUGAAAAUCUAAUUUGAUUAGAUGAGUGUAGUGCUCAAAUUUCUGACUCAGGAUUCCAACACCACAAACAAUUAUUCAUUUAAUUUAUAUCUCAAAGAAGCUCCAUGAUCUAAGUUGCUUCUUUACACCCCUAUGUGCACGAAACCUAGCAUUUUUAUUUUUUAAAUUUGAUUUGAUGUUAUUUUGAACCAAAUAAUUUAUUACUACUAUUUUUUUUUUAUUUUUUUACAUUAAUAAUACAAUUAAUUAUAAAAAUAGAAUAAGUAUAGUUCAUCUUGAACAGAAAAAAUUGGUAUUAUCAAUGUGUCAAGUAACAUUAUUUAUAAAAAGAAUAUAUAUUUUGAUUAUAAAGGGUGUUGCCAAUCAAGGGGCGCAUCCAUUUUUUCCUCUUAAAUUUUUAUUUCUUUUAUGUUAUAAUUUUUAAAGGCAUAAUGAAAUAUUUGACUCUUGAACGUUAUAAAUUUUUUUAUUUUAGCUAUUUAUUUAAUUUUUUUUUUAUUUUUUUUAGUUUUAAAAUUUGUAUUUUUUUAUCAAAUCACUCUAAAAUAAAUAAAAAAAACUCACAUUUUUUUUAACUUUGAUUAUGUGACAUGCACAUGGAUGACAUGUCUAUAUUUAAUUAACAUUUUAAAAUUUAAAAAAAAAUUAAAAUUUCUAUGUCAACCACAUAGUAAUCCACGUGUAUGUCACGGUAAUAAAGUUAAAAAAUAUUAAUUUUUCAUCUAUUUUGAGAUGAUUUAAUAAAAAAAUAUAAGUUUAAAAACUAAAAAAAGAUAGAAAAAUUAAAUGGAGGACUAUUUUUGUUUUAGAAAGUUGAAAGAACAAAUAUGUUAUUAUGCUAACAAAUAUAAAUAUUAAAAAAAGAGAGUAAAAUUUGACCGAGGAAAGAGAGGUGCCACCUCCGUGGUUGGCAAUACCCAUUUGUAAUUAAAAUUUUAUUUAUUAGAUUAAAAUAUUAUUUUUUAUAGCUAAUAUCACUUAACAUAUUAAUGAAACCAACUUUUACUGUUCAAAACGAUAUAUUUUCAUAAAUAAUCUAUUUUCAACCUCAUUUUCAUAAUUUCUUUUAGAUAUUAUUAAUGUAAAAACCCCUACUUUUGUUUUAUUCAAAGCAACCAAUUGAAACAUGUAAGUGAUCUUGCCUUUUAAUGCCUUUUUUUUUAUAAAAAUACUCAAAUUUUUUUAUUAUUUAUGAAAGUGACUCACUUUAAAAAUUAUGUACGUAAAUGACUCAUUUUAAAUAGUAAAUUUUGGUGACACCACCACCUCUAAUUUAAAAAAAAAAAUUUGGGUGUUGCCGUUACUAUUGGUGGCACCAGACUGAAGUAUAAUUAUAUAAAACGUUAAGUGACCUGAUGAAACAAUUACCCUUUUAAAUUGGAUUGGCACACACCAAUUAAAUACUUUUAAACUUUUGAUCUAUUUGCAUGUUAGGUCUAUCCUCUUUUGAAAUUAAAUUAAAUUAACAAAAACAAAAACCUUUUCAAUUUUUUUUAAAAACAAUAAACUUAAAAAAAUAUAUAAAAUAUUUAUUUAAAUUACUUGCGACAAGUUUGUCUCUCUAUGAUCCAGUUAAAUACAGAUGAUUCAGAUUUUAAAUAAUAAAAUCUUAUAUUUAGGGUUAAUCAUAUAUUUAUUUACAAUUCAAACCUACCUCAACAUGAUUUUAAAUUUUUAAUCACGUGAGUUUACCUGAUUCUUUUUUUUUUUGAAAUAAAAGACUGGGAUUUUAUUUUAUUGAAUAUAGAUAAAAACAAAACAAACAACCGGACCCAAACAAAUGGCCAAAACAAAAUGGUUCCGCAAAGAAAUAGCCUAAAUAAAGCAAAAUAAAACUUUCCAGUUACUUACUGACCAGAAAUGAAAAGCAGCAAACACAAAAUACAAUAAAAUGUUUUAAAAUCCAUCCCAGUCAAAUCAAGAAACGAUUGGAUGCCAUAAAUUCUGAUGACUAGUCAUUUCCAAUGCUCCAGAAUGUUCUGUCGAUAGCUUUCCCCAAGAUCUUUUUACUUUCUUUUGCUAUCUGCUUUCUUUACUUUUUUGCUCAUCUCUCCUUCAAUCUGGUUCCCUAGGCCAAGUUCCUACCGAGGCGAAAGCAUGACCUUCCCGUUUUUUUCCCCUCAGAUAAGUAUCUUCUUCUUUCUCAAGCGCGAUCUUUGCUAAUCUAUGAGCAUAUGAGUUUUCAGAUAUGUGAAUAUAUUGAAAAAUAAGUUCUUGAAAAUCAACUUUCUUUUUCUGAAUAUCUCUGAUAAUGGCUCCGAUUACUGACUUGUCUGUUGAAGUUGCUUGACAUUUUUUUAUAACUGUUUUUGAAUCCCCCAUAAGUCUGACUGAUUGGAUUCUAAGUGAACUCCCUAAUUUUGUACCUUCUAGGCAUGCAUAUGCCUCUGCUGCGAAAGGUGAGGGGACAUUUCUAUGGAUAACCGUCUUUAACACCAUUAAGUUUCCCCUCAGAUCCCACCUUACUAAACCUGUCGCUGAUCUGAAGGUUCUACUGUCAAACGCUGUAUCAAAGUAGAUUCUCGUUCUCGGUUUAACCUCUUGUGUUUUAUGACUUUUGUUUAUACUUUCAUUCUUUUUCAAGUUUUUUAAACCUUCAUAUUCUGCUAAAUGUCUUUGAAUGUUUUGUGCUAAAUCCCUUCCUGUUGUGUUUUUUCUCUCGUGUACCAAUUGAUUUCUGGAGUACCUUAACUGCCAUAAAGUGUAACAGAAGAGCAGACACUGACCAUUGUUGCUUCUCUUGAAAACCCAUGUAAGCCACUCCCAUAUAUUUUGACUCAUGUUAUUCAUAACCCAUGAAAGAUUUAACUGUUGCCAAACUUCAAUUGUCAUAGGCCAUUCACGGAAGACAUGGACACUUUCUUCAACCUACAAACAACAUCGGGGACAUCUAUCAUUAGAAAUGACCCUCCUGUACCUAAGAUUAGCAAAAUUUGGUAUAAAGUCCCAUGAUAUCCGGCAGACUGUAAAUGUAAUUUUUGAGGGCAAUUGUAGGCUCCAAAGUUUCUUGUAAAAUUCUUUUAAUUCGGACUGUAUUAAAUAAUCAUUAGGAACCCGAUUAGCCUCUUGUAAUAAUUUAUAGGCACUGCGGACCGAAAACUCACCAGAUAGUUCUCCUUUCCACACCUGAAUAUCCUUAUGCUCAAACUCUUCUAGGGGAAUCUGCAGUAUUUUCCUAGCAAUUUCCUCUUAAAAGGUACUAUUAAUCACAUCCAUUCUCCAUUUUCUACUUGAUAAAUCGAUAAGAUCCGAAACUAACUGUAAUUCACCUCUGUUUGUUCUAAUUUGUGCGCCAAUUUUAUCGACCCCCUGAAUCCAGUUAUCUUCCUAAAUGGAGAUGCUAUCCCCUCUACCCACCCUCUAGCUCAUCCCUUUUUGGAGAAGACCUUUUGCUGCCUAUAUACUCUUCCAGGUAAAAGAAGGUAAAUUUCCCAACUCUGCAGAUAAGAAACUAGAAAACGAGAAAUAUUUUGCUUUAAAAACUUUGGCUAAUAAUUAAUCUGGAAAAUUAAUGAGACGCCAUCCUUGUUUAGCUAGUAACGUGUUAUUGAAUUGGCUAAAAUCUCGAAAACCUAAACCUCCACAUUCUUUUAAAGAACAAAGAUUUUCCCACGUGCACCAAUGAAUUCCUUUAUUACCCUUUCCUUUCUGCCACCAGAAUUUAGCAACAAUGCUCUCCAAUUCUUUACAUAAAAUUUUGGGUAGUAAGAAACAUGCCAUCGAAUAGGUAGGAAUAGCCUGAAGUAUGACCUUUAUAAAAACUUCUUUGCCUCCUUGAGAUAAAAACCUGAUACUCCAAUUAUCGAUACACUUCUUGAAACGAUCCUUUAGAUUUUGAAAAGCUUCUUUCUUCCUUCGGCCCACCAUAUUCGGCAACCCCAAGUAUCUCUUUAGAUCAUUAGACCUACGAACCCUCAACAAGUUGACAACCUGACUUCUGUCCUCUUUCAGUGUGUUUUUGCUAAAAAAUACUGUUGAUUUUUCAAAGUUUACGCAUUGCCCCGAGCAAGUUUUAUAUUCUUCUAGUAUGUCCUUGAAGAUAUUAGCACCCUUCCUUGUUGCCUCCCCAAAUAAUAUGCAAUUAUCAGCAAAUAAAAGAUGGGAUACCUAUGGUCCAUUCUUACUAAUCCUAACUCCUUUCGAAAUACCUCUCUUCAUUGCCGAUAUUAAUAGACUCGAUAGGCCCUCACCGCACAAAAGGAAUAAUAACGGACUUAGUGGGUCGCCUUGUCUCAAACCUCUGGUUGGCGAAAAAUUAGCCUCUCUAAACCCAUUAAUGAUCACUGAAUAAGAAACAGUAGAUACACAUUUCAUAAUGGCCUUCACCCAGUUAAGGUCAAACCAUAUCUUUACCAUAAUUUCUUCAAUAAAACUCCAUUCAACCCUAUCGUAAGCUUUGCUCAUAUCUAGUUUAACGGUCAUAAAACCUUUUUUCCCCAGUUUCUUCAGUUUUAACUUGUGUAGCACCUCAUAUGCUAGUAAUACAUUGUCUGAUAUCAAUCGUCCUGGUACAAAAUCACUUUGGGCUUCAUCAAUACACUUCCUAAUAAUAUUUCGGAGCCUAUUAGCUAUUACCUUUGCUAUAAUUUUAUAAAGAACAUUGCAAAGACUGAUCGGCCUAAACUGCGACAUAUUUAAAGGGCUUUCUACUUUGGGUAUAAGCACUAUAUUUGUAAAAUUAAUUUGACUAACUUCUAUUUUACCAUUCAACAUUCGGAGACAAUAAGAUAUGACAUCUUCUCCCACAAUCUGCCAACAUUUCUGAUAACACGCUACUGGAAAGCCAUCUUCCAUUGGCGCCUUCGUUGGACCCAUGUCAAAGAUAACUUCUGUAAUUUCUUCCUUGGAAUAUGGAGCUGUAAGUCUUUGAUUGUCUUCUUCAUGAAUACACCGCUCAACCCCUGAUAAUAUAUGAUCAUAAUUUCCUCUUCUACCUGCCGAAAACAGGUUUUGAAAAUAAGCUUGUGUCGUAACCUCAAUAUCAUUCAAAAACACCAUCUCUCCCCCUUCUUCGUUCUUUAAUUUGUGAAUAAAAUUCCUCUUCUUUCAUUGUGAAACUUGAUUGUGAAAGAAUUUUGUAUUUUUAUCUCUAAACUUCAACCAAUUUGUUCUGGCCCUUUGUUCCCACGUUCGUCUUUUUCAAUCUCAAAGUUUAAACUUAUUUUUGUAUCGAUCAAUUCAGCUAAAGUCUUAUCAUCCCUUUCAGCUACAACCAACUCUUCAAGCUUUUUUGUCAGAAAUCGUUUAGAUUUUUUCCUGUUAAAUUGAAUUCUCCUAGCCUAUUCCUUCAGACUUUCUUUUAAAUUCUCCAGUCUCUGUAGCAAUUCCCCUGAAGAAUUCUCCCACAAAAACUUAACCACAUUAAUAAAUGACUCCUCCAUUAACCACCAAGCUUCAAAUCUAAAAUUACUGUUCCAAACUUGAUCUUUAUAUUUCCUGGUAUCCAAAAGAAGAGGGUAGUGAUUUGAAAACGUAUGAGUAAGAUGUUGGACUUUCACCUUUGGAAACAGCACAAUCCACUCUAUGUUAGCUACUCCUCUAUCAAGUCGUUCUUGAAUAUUUGUCUUCGGUAAAUUACCUCUCUCCCAAGUGAACCAGCUGCCUUCAAAUCCCACAUUAUAUAGAUGACAAUCUUCUAGCGUUUUUCGAAAUAACUCCAAACUUUUUUCAUCUCUAGGUAGCCCUCCUUUCUUCUCAAAUCCAUACAUGAUUUCGUUAAAAUCGCCACACACCAACCAUGGAAUUACCUCACCAACAACUAAUCUCUUCAAAACUUCCCAUGAAUUGUUUCUGUCCUGAACAUAUGGGGAACCAUAAAAGCCUGUAAAUCUCCAUUUAACUCUUUUUUCUUUAUCUUCAACUAGCACGUCAAUAUGUCUUUUAGAAAAACUACGAAGCAUUAUAUCCAUGUCGGUUUUCCAUGCUAAGCAUAAUCUUCCUCUCGUGCCUUCAGCUUCAACUUCAAUCCCGUUUAGGAAACCACAUCUUCUAUGAAUAAUUUCCAUUUGUUUUUUACUAAGUUUUGUCUCCAUGAAAAAGACUAUUUGGGGAUUAUUUUUCUUCAGUAAAUAUCGAAGUCUUCUAACCGUCCGUUGUCUCCCCAAACCACAGACGUUCCAACUUAAAAUUUUCAUUGCUCCCGGUCGGCUAACCUCUUGGCAGUCGCUGAUGAUAAAAAGGAUAGUAUCUUCCAUCUCAACCCUAUUUUGCUUUUUCCCCUCCUCCCCUAUUAAAGUUUCAUCUUCCACAUCAUACUCCAUAGCUACUUUUCCUUGAAAGGAUCCUAAUUUAUCCUUCCAUUGACCAACAGAUGGUCCUUCCCCUUCUUAACUAAACCCCAAUAUUAAAUCAAUGGAUUUCUUCUUACUCCCUUUCAAAUCCCCAUCCCUUGAACUAAGCCCUACCGUUCUGUUCCCUAUCCAACUCCCUUCACUUUUACUUUCUCUCUCUUAUCGUAACCAAAUACUAUUCAUUGCUAGAGCUCUACGAGAUGGAGCUCGCAAAGAUAAAUCCCAACCCAUCUCAAUGAUGUCCGCCCUCAUCAUCAUUCUUGCCUCGCAAAUAAAAAACAUUAUGCCCCAAAUGACCACAGAAAAAAUAAAACAACGAUAAGCGUUCAUAUUUAAACUUAACAUACGAACAUAUCCCACAGCUCAUAACCUACUUUUUCCUUCUCAAUGGUUUCCUAACAUCAAUUUGCACCCUAAUCCCCAUGUAGUUACGAUUUUCCUUUCCUAGAUUUGAAGCAUCAUACUCUAGGAAAACUCCAAUAAAAUUACCCAAUUGUAUCGCUAAAUUCUCAGAGAAUAAACCAACUGGAACAUCAUGGAUUUGUACCCAAAAGGGAACAAAAACUAGAGGUAUUUUCAAUGGAUCUUCGCCCCUCUUUAAUUUGCACAAAAUUAGUAAAUGAUUAUUAAAAGUCCAUACCUUUAAAACUCUCUCCGUAUCCAUAUAAUGAAAAAACUUGAAGAGGUACCUUUUCUUCCCUAGAUUUCUGAUUUGCACCCCACAGACAGGAUGCCAUAAAUUUGCCAGAGUGCUCUUCAUGGCCGGAAAAUUUAUUAUACUUGCUGUUAAGAAGCAACCCACAAGCUAAUAAUCUGCCUACUUCUCUUUGCAUAGUUGGAUCUGCCUGGACUAACAGGACUUCUUCUUCUUCUUCUUCAUUGAUCGAUAGAUUUGCUAAUUCAGUCUCCAUACUUGCAGGAUUUGAAAAGAGAUGGAAACUCACCCGCCUUCAAGAUAACAGAAAGGGAAUAUCCUGAAACCGACGAGCACAAGAAUUGAAAAUAAUAAAGAACCAGAACUAAAACAACAAAAAACCUAAUAACUUAGGCCAGAGGCGGCAGACAAUACGUGCUAGGGCAGCAGACUUUUUUUGAUCAUGAGUUUCCCGAUUCUUAAAUAUAUAUUAGAAUAUGAAAUAUAAAAAAAUAUUUAUAAAAGUUUUAUUUCAAAAUCAAGUAAAAUGUUAUGUGAGAUAAUUAAAUUAAAAGUUUAAAAAUAAUGUGUUAAAAGUUGAAAUUUUAUCAUAGUAUUAUUCUAUUUAAAACAUAAAAAAUAUAGAAAUACCUUCACAUUAAUAUUUAUUAUUUUAUAAAAAUAAAAUGUUGUAACAAUUUUCAAAUUGACUUGUUAUUUAAUGGAUUCGUUUUAUAUAUUAACCUUUACGGUCAAGUCCUUUAUUUGUAUUAUUAUUUUCAUCAUCAGACUGAAAAUUGACUCCCAAGGGCUUAUUUUGCAUGAUAAAAGAAGCAGUGAUCAUCUUCGUUUAUCAAUCAAGUUUUAUUAUUAUUAAAUUUGGAGAAGAAUUGAACUCAAAGUUGAUAAAACUGUAAUUAAUGGAACAAACAUAAAAUUUAUAAUUGGCAGUCAAACUUUGAAAGUCUACAUAAGUAGCUAGAUCAACUUAAUAUUUUUAAUUUCUAUGAUAUACAGAUUGAUUGUGCUUGUUCAAAACCGACAAAACUGAACCAAAAAGGAUGGGAACUAGACAGUUAUGGUGAAUCAUUGAAUGCCAUUGCCCAUCCCCUUUUCACUCCCAAAAUGGCGAGUUUUCUUGUAUCCCUAAAUACGACACAACUAGAAAAUAUUAAUACCACAUUCCGUCUGCAAUAUUAUACAUGAUGCAAGGUGUGGUCCAUAAUUUGCCAAGCCUUUCUAUAAAAUUUGACAAGUAUGGCAUCGGUAACAGAGCAUAUGAUGCUUAGCAACAUUUGUGACCCACAAUUUUUAAACAGUGGGAUUGAAUUCUAUCAUCUUGCAAUCGGCUUUUGUUGCUUCCAGUUUUCUUUGUAUGCUAUAUAGCUUUUUACCCUAAUUUUGUCAUAUUUAGUGUUUGGAUAACCAAAAGAAAAGCUUGUCCAUACGUUGUGUGUUCAAGAUAGGAUUCUAACUUACUUUAUGUUUAAAUGGAAGAGUUUCAUUUCACUAUCACUUCAUAUAUGAUAGUAAUUCCCAAUUGGAGUCCACUUAUUCCAACAGGGUUAAUGUUGUGGGUUGAAAGAACUAGUGCUGUCUUUUAUGGUACACAAUCGACAAUUGCAUACGGAUGCAAAUAUGUGUUUCAGACAAUGAUUGAAGGAGACAGAACAUGAAUUUAACUCUCAAUGAUUUGACUAUUUAAUGCCAUUUUCCCUUUUUUUUCUGUUAGUUAAUCUUCCUUUAUCUCCUCCACGGAAAACAAGGGUAAGGUUUGGUUUCCUCAAAUUAAUUCAUACAAGAGGAGAAUCAUGUAGUUGAUGCAACCAUAAUGGGUGUUAGAAAAAGUUGAAAACGAUAAUCAUGAAAUCCUAAGUUUUGUUUUUUUUUUUAAAUGGUCAGCACUAAUAUUAUAUAUAGUUGACAUAACCAUUGUUCAAGCAUCACCAGAGGGGAAACUCAGGAAAAAAAAUGAUAUUCGAAUUUUAAUUCCAUUCCAUUAGAUGUCGGCCACGUCUUUUGCUAACUCCUAUAUAACCACAUCUCUCUAUCAGAAACUUCUUGUACAUAAACCCUUUCUGAUCAUUGAGAAUCUUUGGCCUAUGACUUUCCCGAGGGACGAAGAAAUAAACGAUGCAGAUGUUGAGAUCCCAACUCUAUAUCUAUAUCCAAGCGGAGGUGAAAACAUGGAAACAGGCGGGGCAGAUGAUAACUUGGGGGUUUUAUUGAGUUUGGGGCUCAACAGACGGGAGGCCGCAACGAGCGGAGAGUGUGAUAAAGAAUCAAAGCCUGCAAAUGCAAGCAACAAAGUGUUUUCAUGCAACUUCUGUAUGAGAAAGUUUUAUAGUUCUCAAGCAUUGGGAGGCCACCAAAACGCACACAAGAGGGAAAGAGGGGCAGGCAAAAGGUCCCAACCUCACAAAACGGGGUUUCCAGUCAAUCCAAUGGGGUUUCGAUCACUUAGGGUACUGCAGCCUCAUUCUGUAGUUCACAAGGAUGUAAGAUCAGAAGGGUCUUCAAUGGUAGCAAGGUUUAGUACUGAUUCCAGCAGGCCUUGGUUUGGAGUUGCUGGUGGGACACCCUUUUUGGGUGAAAAACCAAUGGCUUCGAUUUGGCCUGGAAGCUUCCGACUUGAAAAUUUGCAAAAUCAAAAACCUCAACUUGAUGCAGAUUCCCAAAAGCUUGACUUAAAUCUGAGGUUAUAGAUGUUUUAGUCUGAGAUUAUAUCUAGUUGUUACAUGUAACUGUUUUAUCUCACUUAUUGAACAUUGACCCUUUUUUCCCUUAAAAUAUAAAGGCUUUGUUAUCUUUGUUUAGUAUAUGUUUCAUAUAUGCUCAUCUUUUCUCUAAAAAUUCUUGUCAAUCAUUAAUAAUCAAAACUAGAUGAUAUAGUUGGCAAAAUAAACCCGAGUCAGAAAACUUCGUCCAUGUCGAUUCGAAUUUAAGAAAAUUCGAGCCUAAAAAAAUUUGAACCCAAAAAAAUUCGAGCCCGUAACAACUUCAAGUUCGAGACCAAAACAAAUCUGUCCCAAAACCUAAAAAAGUCCGACUUUAUAACUAAACAACUAAUAUACAUUUAUGAUAUUUAAAAUAAGUAAUUGUUCUUUAUAUUAUGAAAAUAUAUUUAUAAGCAUGACAUAUUUAUAUUAAAAUAUUAUUAAUAGGAAAAGUAAUUAAUAAUAAUUAUGUUAAAUUAUAAAGUGAAACAAAUUUUUAAAAAUAUUAAUUUAAUUUAAAAUACUUUUAAUAUUAUAAUUAUAUAAAAUUAAUAAUUAUUAAAACUAUAAAAUUAAAUUUUAAUGAUAAUAUAAUAUAUAAUGACAGAAUAUAUUAAUUUAAUAUUUACCACAUUUCACAAAUAACUUACACAUGAUUAAUUUUACGAUAUUAAUAACAUUAGUAACAAAUUUAAUUUUAAACCAUAAACUUUUUAAUAAAAAAAAUUCUCUAUAACAAUAUAAAUUAAAGAAAAAGUAAAAGUUGUUUAACAAAAAAAAUAAAAAAUCUAAAUACAAUAUAUAUUAAAAAAAACCGAUAUUAAUCUGAUUCUUAAUACCAUGCCAUCCUAGGUCCAAAUCCCAAAUUCACAUUGAAGAAGGAGACACCACGGACCGAGAGAGAGAUAGCUUGAUAAUAUAAAAUUCUUGCCAUGAGAAAAGAAAUUCAGAGAAUGCACCAAAUCCAUUUCAGACCCAAAAGAAAACUAUUUUAGUUUAAAGCUCUUCUACUUUUUAAAAUUUUUAAAAUUGUUGAUGUGACUCUUAUAAAUUGAGUAAAACAACUUUUUAACUCUUGUUAAUUCAGUUCUCACUCUUUCAAACCACAUAAACAAGUAUAAAACAAAAUUUAGAAAUUACAAGUUUUUUUUUCCCUAUUUUCAAUAAAAAAUAUAAAAAAUAUUUCAAAUUAAAAAUUUAAAAUUCAUUUAGUCCAUGAAAAUUUCAUUUCAAAUUAUUUAAAAAAUGAAAAAUAUAUCUUUUUUAAAAUGGGUUAUUUAAUAAGUUUUCUCCAAAUUUUGGAUAAAAUUUUUAUAUUUUAAAUCAGAUUAAUUAUAUAUCAAAAUUAUUUUUAUGUAAAUUUUAGUAUAAAAUAAUUUUAAAUAAUAAUACAAAUUUUGAGUUGGUUCAGAUUAAAUUUAAUAUAUGUAUAUUUCAAAAUACUCUAUACUAAAAGACUUCUGUAUAAAAAUGGACCUAUUUUGGCAAAAUACGAAAGUGAUAAAUUAAGUUUUGAAAUUUUUGUAGUGUAUUUUGAACACUAAAUUUACAUGGUAUAUUAAAUUUUAAUUCAAAUCAAAAUUAUUAUUAUUUAAAAAUUAAUUAAUACAUUAUAUAUUAUAUAUGUGAAUGAUUUGAAUUAAAUAAAAAAAUAUCUAUUUAAAUAUGAUCUGGACUAAAUAAAUAGCUCGAAAUAACUUAUUACCAUUAUAGAUGUGAAUGGGGCAAGGCCAAGUCAAGGUCCAAUUUAAAAAAUUUCUCUGAGUUGAUUUCGCUCGAAUGGACCAUUUCCUAUUUAAAAAUAAUAACAAAAUAUUUUAUAUUUUAUUUUAAUUAUAAAAAUUAAUAUUAAUGUAAGUUUUUAUUUUUAUUUUAUCAUUUUAAACAUAAAUGUGAACAUCUCUUAUUACCAUUUUAUAUAUUAAAUAAAUUUAAAUUUUUUUAAAAAAUAUUUUUAUUUUUUGGAUUUAAAGAGUUUUUUUUCAUAAUUUUUUAAUUUUAAAAAAUAAUUUUUUUUAAAUUUUUUAUGCUUUUAUUUAAAAAUGAGAAAAAUUAAUUUUUAUUAUUUUUUUAAAAUUUUAUGUAAUUUUAAAGAAUAAGGAUUACAUUAACAAAAACUAUAAAUGUUUAGGGCUAAAAAACGUUAUUUUACCUUUUUCAAUUAUUACAUAAAUAACUUUAAUGGAUCAAAAUUUUUAAAUAAAAAAAAGUAAAAGUAUUCAAUGUGGCAGAAUUAAAAUUUAAAAUUAAAAGAAGUAUAGAAAUCUCAAGGUUAUUCAAACUUUAGUUUUAUAUAUAGAAUUUGAGAUAUUCAAAGAAUUUAGAUUGUAACUCUUUUUUUUUUUUUUCUUAUUUUAAACAAAAAUUUAAUGAAUUUUUGUGUGGUAUUUAGUAUUGGUUUUCCUUUUUUGGUGUGGGCUUAGGACCAACUCAUUGGUUAGUUUAAGAACAGAUUCUGGCAUUGUACUUUGAGCAAGCUUUUAGAUUUGGGCUUUGCUCCAAAUUCAAAAACUUCUUGUUGCUUUUGGUUCAAUCACAAAUUUAGAAAAUGAUGGAAACCCAAGCCCUGGAAUUUUUUAGAUUGAACCCAAUUUAUGAAACAAAUGGACCAAAACCCUGAAAAUUUUCUUUUUAAUAUUCUGAAAUAUCCGGAGGAAAAGGAAAUGAAGAAAAACAAGAAAAAUUAGAAAGAAAGAAAGAAAAAAAAAAACACCAAUAAAGGAGCCUUCGCAUGACAAGCAACGAGCAAAGGGUUUUUAUUCAUUUCCCUUUUCUCUGCACCCAAAGCCCCACCUUCGUGGAUUUUGUGUGCAAUUUUUUUCUUAUAGGCAGCCGAGGUAUUAUUGUUUUUAAUCCAUGGUAUUUUCUCUUAUAUUUCUCCCCCUUUUUUUUGUAUUAUGUAUGUAUUUUGUUGGAUUUUUGGAUUUUUUGAAUUUCACUAUCUUUGUUUUUCUUGAAUUUCUUUUUGAUGUUUUUUGCUUUCAUAAUGUAGAACGGAAUGUUAAAAAAAGAGAGGAUAAAAUCAGGAAUUUUUUUCAGAGGUGUCGAGAAAGCAAGGAAUUCAGUUUGGGAUUUCAUGAAAAAUCCAAGGCAAAUUAAGAUAGGAUAAUUUUAUGCUUUAAAUAAUUGAUAAAUAAAACUUAAUUUUCAUGAGUUAUUUGUUCAUCUUCUUUGAACAUGAUGAUGGGUUUUCUUAUGGUUUUGAUUUGUGAUAAUCCGACAUUUAUUUAUUAGUUCUUAGGACAUUAGGGUGCUUUAGAGACUUGAAUGGUUAAAUUGAGCCCUGUUGCGAAGAAGUAAGAAUAUGAAUUUGGGGAUUAUCUUCUAUUUGAUUGCUUAAAACAUCUAAAGAAAUAUGACAUUUGACUGCUGUUAGGCAGUCAAGCUCAUGGAUAUUCUGGUUUCUUGAUAAGGUACGGUAUGGACUGCUAGGCUUAUCUCGAAACCUGGGUCCAGUGUGUUUUGUUCACUUCACUUCUACAUUGAAAGUUUUCACCAAUAUAGUGUGUUUUUACUCCUGCCUAGUGUCGUCCUUGUUGGCUGCGAUCAUGGAUGAAAACUUUCUUUAUGCUGAUAUUGCUAAUUCGUUUGUUUGUUUAUUUAAGAAUUUGCAAUUGUUUCUUGUAGCAGUGACUUUGCGCAACUAUGGCUGGUAUUGAGCAAUGUGAGGCAAAUGAUUCUGCUUCUUCUCUGAUAGAGCAACUUUAUGAGGCGUUUCAUGAACUGGAAGCUUUCAAGGAUGCUUCUGAGAACAAGGUUCAUUGGACAGAAAUUGAACAAUAUUUCCGCAAUCUUGAGGUGACAUUAAAGAAGAAAUCUGAAGAGCUUGUAGCUAAGGAGAAGGAAUAUGAGGUGAAAGAAGCUGAAACCCUUGCGUUGAUUGUUGAGAAGGAGGCAGUUGUUGCUACUAAGGAACAAGAUUACUUAGACCGAGUGCAGGAGCUAAAAGAUGCUGCUGUUGCUGCAAUUGCUGAGGCAUGUGCAAAUUUCCGACCAACAACUGCAGAAUCUCUUGAUGCUGCAGAAAAUGGAGACACCAAGGUAAGCAGUUCUGUUGGUGAUAAAAAAUCUCCCGAUGAGGAGUUUCCUCGUAAAACAAGUGAAAUUACUGAAAACAUGGCGGCUGAUGUUAAGUCGCGUCCAGAGCUUACCCACUUUUGUGAGCAAAUGGAUGCAAAAGGACUUCUGAACUUUUUAAUGGAGAAUCAGAAAAUUCUGAAUGACAUUUGUCGGGAACUUCCCCUUGCACUUGAAAGUGCAAGCGAACCAGCCCGUUUGGUACUGAAUUCACUGGAGGGGUUUUACCCUCCGGACGAAACAAGUCAAACGGUGGAUAAGACAGAUGCUGCCCUGCAGGGCAUGCGCAAAUCCUGUGUCGUCUUAUUAGAAGCCAUGGCUAGUUUUUUGGCCAGAAUCGACCCUGGUGAUACUCACCUUCUGAACCCUGAAAUCAAGCAGCUAGCCAAGGCAAUUGCUGAUGAGUGGAAACCUAAGUUGUCUAAUGCAGGCAGUGGUGCUGCCAUUGACAAUUCAUUGGAAGCUGAAGCCUUUUUGCAGCUCCUUGCUACUUUUAGGAUCGCUUCGGAGUUUGACGAAGAACAACUCUGCAAGCUUGUUUUUGUAGUUGCUCACCGCCGGCAGGCACCUGAGCUUUGUUGUUCCAUUGGAUUAACACCGAAAAUGCCAGGUUGGUAUGGAGGCAGGACCAUUGUUUCCAUACGAUGUGUCUCAAGUUGAUAAUGCUAAUGUAUCUCUAACUUGCUUAUGACUAUACCACUGUUCGGUAUCCAUUUGCUAAACUGAGUCUUACCAUGGCAGGCCUUGUUGAGUUAUUGAUUAACAGCGGGAGACAAGUCGAUGCGGUACGAUUUAUUCAUGCCUUCCAGCUUACUGAAAAGUUUCCUCCUGUGCCCCUCUUAAAGAUGUACUUGAAAGAUUUGCGGAGAAACUCACAAGGGAAGGGCGGGAAUUCUCGUGGUGCUGCUGGUUCACAGGUAACGUAUGCUUAUACCAAAUGAAGACCUGAUUCUAUGAAUUUUCUCUAUAGAAAAAUACCGACAGGCAGUUUCCUCUUCGUAUACAGGAUGACAUAAAUGCACGAGAGCUCGCGGCCUUGAAAGCUGUAAUAAGAUGUGUUCAAGACUAUGGCCUAGAAGCUGACUACUCCCUUGAUCCACUCCAGAAAAGGUUGGCUCAACUCGAAAAAGCAAAAGCAGACAAUAAGAAAAGAGGGGGGGAUUCUGGUAAACAUCACCCGCGGAAGAAAUCAAGGCCCAAUGGUGGAUUUCGAGGAUAUCGGGGACCUCCAGGUAGGCAAGCUCCACUGGUUUACAACCAGAGGGCUGCAUUUACAGGAAUGCCGGAAAGGUAUACUCAUGCAGGUCCGAAUCCCUACAAUUAUCAAAUACCGAAUCAACCUGCAUAUGUCCCUCAAGCGAAUGAUCAAAGAUUAUACUACUAUUCUCAAGAUGACAAAGUUGCAACGUCGUCAUAUAAUGCAGCAGCUACUUCUAACUAUGGUAGCUACAGUGGCAGCGGAUUGCAACCAUCGCAUUCACAGCAGCCAUUUCUGUAGUUCUUUUUAAUAUUAUAAGUUUAUCAUAGAUGCAUGUUCAGUUUAUCAUUAGAUUUUUUGCCCACUGUGGUGCUAACUUCCAAUAUUGCCCCCCAACCCCCUUUUUUUUAAUCCAUAAUUUAACAGAUUUUUCUUGAGGCUUUGCCUUCAAAACCAUGUUCAAUCUUCUUUUUAUUAGUUUCUUUUGUUAGUUCCUAAUAUGCUCUUAAACCUUAAUCUAUUCGGCUAAUAAUAUAGGGCAAAUUUUAUGAUUAGGUCAAACCCUUCUCAGUUAAUUAUAAUGACUAUUUUAAUGUUUUUAUUUUAGUCAUGAGGUUGUUAAAAUUGUUGUUGUAUGAUGUUUGCAUCAAUCGAAAGUAAUUCUUAUCCAUUUUUUCUGUUACAGUUUUGUUUUUUCAUAAAACUACUUUAAAUGUCACAAAUUUGUGGAUUAGAAUCGAAAUAGUUUUUUUAUUCGAUUUAAGAUAUUGAUUGUGGAUCUAACGUUUGUUAUUCCACUUGUUAAUGGGUAUCGAGUCAUUGUGCCAAUUAUCGAAUUGUUGUUUGGAGCUGCUAGCCGAGUUUUUUAUAAAAAAAGAAAACUUAACGACCUAGUGAUUUAAAUAAAAAUUUUCGAACAGUUUAGUGAUUUAAAUGAAAAUUUUCGAAUAGUUCAAUAAUAUUCUUAUAACUUUUUGAAGUUGAAUAAUUAAAAUAUAAAUUUACUAAUAGUUUAAUGAACUUAGGUGUAAUAAUAAUAAUAAUAAUAAUAAUAAUUUCAUUCGUUGUUAUUUCUCCAUCUUAUCAUACAAUUUCAUUCGUUAUUAUUUCUCUAUCUUAUUUAUGAUAAACCCAGUAAUAAUAGACACGAAUGACACGAGUAUACAAAUAUUUCAUUAGAUUCACGCAACUAAUAUAUUUUUAUAGAUGAAUGUAUCUGAUUGAUUGAGAGACCAUUUUAUUAUAGGACCUAAUUAAAUUAGUUCUUGUAUUAUUAAAAAGAAUUAAAUCAAGUCAAAUUGGAAAAUAGUUAACAUUUACUGUUUAGAAAAUAACAUUUAUUGUUUAAUAGAGUUAAUAUUUUUACAUUUUUGUUAUAGUUUUGUAAUAAAAUAUUUUGUUUGGAAUUGAACUAUAAUUGAAAAAAAUUCAAGAUAUUUUUUAUACAUUAAAUGUUAACUUUGUUACACUUUGGACUAAUUUGAUUAUUUCUAGUAGUAUAAAGACUAAAUUGAUUUAUUUAAUAAUAGAGCGACUAAUUUGAUCUAAUCCUUAUAAACUAGGGACCUUCCAAAUACUUUAACCUAUUUUUAUAUCAUUUUGAGAAGAUUGAAAAAAAAUCCCUCCAUUUGAAAUAUUCCUUAAGGUAAAAAAAAAAAAAAAAACCAAUUAGUUCCUCGUAAAAAAAAUCAUCCAAUUGAGCCUUUAAUCCUGAAGCACUAAUCAAUUAAACCUCUCCACAACAUAAAUCUACCGGAUUAGAGUCAAAUCUAAUAGGGGAAUCCAUAAAUUGAGUUAAUACGAUAAUAGGGGUUUUAAUUAGAAAGAAAUUUCAAUUAAUCAACUUAGUGUCAGUUGCUCUUAGUCUUGAAGAGAGAUAUUAACAUAAUUUAGUGAUUUAUGCGGAUCAAUGUAUUAAGUGAAUAAAUUGUUUAAUUUAGAUUGAUAAUGACAGAUGCAGUCUAGGCGGAUUCUUUCUUGGGUAUUGUUUCGCUUCUUGGUUAUUAUUCAAUUAUUUUCCUGAUUUAUUCUUUGUCGAGUUCUUAGUUAAUUAAUUUAGUUAAUUUUAGUUUAAUUCAAUCAUUUCAAUUUGUCGGUUAAAUAAUAGAAAGACGGUAAUUACUAGUACUUUUAGUCAUCGUGGGAACAAUAUCUUUGCUUAAUGUAGCUAUACUAUUUAUUGAUAGUUGCACUACUGCACUUGCCUUUGUCGUAUUUUUAGUUGGUUUCGUGGACAUCAACCAAUCACUGUGGAUUCGACGCUAUUACUCUAUAUUGCUAUUUAGUGUUAUUUUAUCGUUUGAAUUUAUAUUUAGUGUUUUUGACGUCCAUGAACUUGUGAACCCUUUAACUUUACUUGUAGAGUCUCAAAACUCAUGACAUUGUACCAAAUAAUUUCCCAAACAUUAAAUUGAAAUUUUAAUAAAUAUUAGAAAAAUUAUUUGGUAUACUGCCACUGAAGUUUUUAAAUUCCACAAGUAAUAUCAGAAGUUGACAAGUGUUUUGAAAAAGUAUAAUAAGAUAUUAAAAAUAUAUACUAUAAAUAAUACAUGUGAAUUUUUUAAAACUACUUAAAAAUAAAAAUAAAAUACAUUUUCAAUAUAUCAAGCAUAAAUAUUUUUUUUUUACCCAGAUGUGUCUUGAAUAUUCUCAUUAGUUGUGGCAACUGAUAUUGCAAUUACAAUUUUGUAGAAAACAUAAAAACGCAUUAUAUAUAUAAGGUUGUUUUUGUUGAAUGUUUUCUAUUUUGGAGAUGGGGGUCGUGGUGGGAGGGCGGCAGGUACUGGGUCAGCAGGUGAUGGCGUGAUUGCUGAGUUGACCGCGGCAGGUACUGCGAUGGCAGGUGACGGUGGGAUUUCCUUGGCGGCGGCAGGCUCAAGUACUUCAGGCUUAUCCACAUUAAAGGACGCUGAUUUUGUUGGCACAGGGGUGGCGCUUCGCCCGUAAAGCCUUCUAGAAAGCUUGGAAAUGACUAAGGUCGCCAUUGUCACCGAUGGUACGAAAACUACAUCCGGAAUCGUCUUUAUCACGCUCAAAUGAGGCAAAAAUUCUCCCGCUUUCUUCGCUGCCAUGGCUGCUGGCGGCGUCACUAUUCCCGUUAUUAUGGUUGUGUUAUCGAGCUGGCUAAGUUUUAUUUCCUGGAUAAAUUUCAUAAAUAUCUUCUUCUUUUUCUCAGGGUCUUUUUCGUUUUCCCAUGCUUUAAAACAUUUCUGAAAUUGUUGAUUUGAUUUUGAUGAGAGGGAAGUUCUAUCUAAUGUUUCAAAAUUAAUAUAUAUAGAAUAGACUGACCUCGACUUCACGGCGAGAUGGGGCAUCAUAAUGUUUACCAGGUAAUGCUGCGCUAAUAACACUGUACAAUCAACGCAACAAAAUAAAAACCAUUACUAUAAAUUUGCAAACCAUAAUUGCCAUAUAUAGGCUAUUUUACCAAAAUAGUCCAAAAAAAUAUUAUAUUUACAAAAAUAAUCCAGGUUUAAAAACAAUCACCAAAAUAACCUAAAAUGAAUAGUGAAAUGGGGUUGUGGCUUGUCAAUGGUCAAAACCAUCUCGUAUUUUGGACCAAUGAUUGCCUGAUAAUUGUGUCAAACUUAAAAAAAAUGAUUUUUUUGGUUUUGGCCUGUCAAUGGCCGGAAAGUGUAUUUUUUUUAAAUUGUAAAAUACUGGUAUACAAAAAAGAAAAAAAGAAAAAAAAAAUUUUGGGUGCUGGCCUGUCAAUGGUCGGCACCCCCUGUAUACGAAUUUUUUUUUUCAGGUAUUGGUCUGUCAAUGGCCGGCACCAGAAUACAAAAAAAGUAAAAAAAAAAUUUUGGUGGCCUACCAAUGGCCGACACCACCUUUAUUGAUUUUUUUUUUACUUUUUUCGUGUCAAUGGCAAGCACCAGUAUACGAAAAAAGUAAAAAAAAAAUUUGGUGGUGGCAUGCCAAUGGCCGGCACCACCUUUAUGGAAAUUUUUUUUUACUUUUUUCGUGUCAAUAGCUGGCACCAUUUUUUCGUAUACUGGUGCCGGCUAUUGACAGACCAAAAGUAAAAAAAAAUUUUUUGGGGAAAAAGGUGUUACCGGCCAUUGGCAGGCCACCACCAAUUUUUUUUAUUACUUUUUUCGUAUACUGGUGCCGACCAUUUACAGACCAAAAGUAAAAAAAAAAAUUUGGGAAAAAGGUGGUGCCCGCCAUUGGCAGGCCACUACCAAUUUUUUUUUUUACUUUUUUCGUAUACUAGUGCCGGCAAUUAACAGACCAAAAGUAAAAAAAAAUUGUGAAAAAGGUGGUGUCGGCCAUUGGCAGGCCACCACGAAUUUUUUUUUACUUUUUUCGUAUAUUGGUGUCGGCCAUUGACAGACCCAAAGUAAAAAAAAAUUUUGGAACCACCAAAAUUUUUUUUUUAACUUUUUUCGUAUACUGGUGCAUGCCAUUGACACGAAAAAAGUAAAAAAAAAAUUCUCAUAAAGGUGGUGCCGACCAUUGGCAAGCCACCACCAAAAACAAAUUUUGUUUUACUUUUUUCGUAUACUGGUGCCUGCCAUUAACACGAAAAAAGUAAAAAAAAUUUAAAUAAAGGUGAUGCCGGCUAUUGACAAGCCACCACUAAAAAAAUAUUUUUUUUUGUUUUUUUCGUAUUUUGGUGCCGACAAUUGACAGACUAAUACCCGAAAUUUUUUUUUCGUAUACAGGGGCCGGCACCCAAAUUUUUUUUUUCGUUUUUUUUCUUUUCUAUAUACCAGUAUUAUACAAUUUAAAAAAAAAUACACAGCUUCCGGCCAUUGGGAGGCCAAAACAAAAAAAAUCAUUUUUUUAAGUCUGACACAAUUAUCAAGCAAUCAUGGGUCCAAAAUACGAGGUGGUUUUGGCCAUUGACAGGCCACAACCCCAUUUCACUGUUCAUUUCAGGUUAUUUUGGUGUUUCUUUUUAAACUUGGGUUAUUUUUGUAAAUAUAAUAUUUUUUUGACUAUUUUGAUAAAAUAGCCCCAUAUAUACAUUACUUACUUCAAGAUAUCAAGAAUGGCGGCAUGAAAAUCAUCGAAGCUGUUGAUUUCUGAUUCGGUGAACUGUUCAUGAAGAGAUUUAAACACAUAGCUUAACAUCUGUGUAGAUGGCAGCCCUGUCAUGAAUUCAAAACUCAAUCUUAGGGCUCUAGAUAUUAUUUGAGAUUGAAUUAAGAAAAUGGGUAUUUUUAAAAAGAAAAAAAAGCAUACCUUUUCCCAUGAAACGACCCAUUGAAUUGCCCAUGUUAAACAGAUCCUUGAAAGAAAGAAAGAAACUUGAGACAAUAUAAGAAGAUCCAACAAUGAUAUAUUUAUAUGCAAAGAAUGGAAAAAAAGAGAGUUAGGGUUGUUAGUUCAUUUGUAAAGUUAAAGCAAGGAAUCCAUCAUCUUUUCAAGUUACAUAUUAUAUAUCUUAAACAACUUUAUUCCUGUCUUGUAAGUUGUUCCUACCAAAACCAAUAGUAAAUAAAAGAUGUUUUUCUUUAUCAAACCAUUAGCUUAGUGUUUUGUUUGUUAUAUUCCUCACAUUGCUAUGCACAUCAGCUUAUUUUUAUAUCCUUACCGAUAAUUAAUGAUUUAGAUCCAAAACGUAACAAAUUGAUAACAUUGAUGAUUGUAUGGUAACUAUUGAUGAGAGGUAUCAACAUGGGAGAAGGUAAGGCGAAGCAAGUGGUGGUGCAAAGGAGACCAAUUUGUCGAAACCACUCAUUUUUUUUGAAUUUGAAAAAAAAGGGAAUCGACUUUGAAGAUGAAAACAGGAGUUGCCACUAUCUUUUACUAAGGUGUGAUCGGUUCACCAUUAAAAAUAAAUUUUAGGUCUGCGAUAUUUGAGAAAAUAGGUCUGGGAGUCGGUUACACACGAGGAAGGGUUAGCACCCUCGUAACGCCCAAAAUUGGUACCGAAUCGAUUGUUUAAUGUCUUAGUGUCGAAUUUUUGAAAAGAUUUUAAAAUACGAUCCCUUGAAAAGAAAAUUUGAAUAAACCAAUUUGAAUGCACUCAUUUUGAAGAAAUAAAGUGCUACACUCAGUGAGUUAGAGUGCAACAAUUCAAUCGUCAAAAUUAAGUAUUUUCAAAUUUCCAAAUGAAUUUUGAAGAGGUUGUUCGGUCAUUUAAGUCAAACGAGAAAUCAAAAUCCAGUAAGUUAGGUUUUGAUUUCUCGGAGUUCUUAAACAUCAAACAUUGCCUUUCUUUUAAAAUCAGGAUAACAAAAUGUCACAUCCAGUAAGUUAGGAUCCAACAAUUUGAAAUCUCAAAAGCUUUAUUUUGAAAACAUAAGGUUUUUUAUCACCAAAGAGAUGCUCGAUUACCCAAAUUCAUCAAAAAAAAUUGAAGCCUAGUAAGUUAGGGUACAAUUCUCUCGCGAAUUAUGAAUGUCGAGUAUUAUAACAUCUAAAAGGGAUAUCGAAACUUAAACCAUGUUAAACACAAAAUUUUAAAAAAGGAAAUUCGGUGGAAUAAUUUACAAUAUUAAGCAGUCAUUUGUAAUCAAAAUGCAUUCUAAUGAUCUACGAAUAAUUAACAAAUACAAACAAGCAAUACAAUACACCUAAGAGCAAAUCUCACAUCAUAUAUUAUGUUAACAUUUAAAAGCUAAUGAAUCUAAAGUCCAUCAAAACACUAAAUAAAUGAAUGCACAUGAAAAUGUACAAAUUUUUAAAAUAAUUUAGGAUGUAUGAAAAAAGAAAUUAUAAUUCAAAUAAAUUGAAAAUAAAUAAUAUAUAUAAGAAUUUGAAAUAAAUCACAAUUAUAGUUAAAAAACAAUUGUCAAAUGGAAUAAUAAUAUCCGAAUAAAUAAAAAAAUAUCAUAAUUAAAGAAAAUAACAUAUAUUUAUUAAUUUAAAUAAAUAAUAUUUGUAAAAAAAAGGAUAAUAACAUAUAAUACAUAAAAAUGAAAUAAGUGAAAUACACCAAGGAGGUUUUUUUUAAUGGAAUAAAUUACGUAUGUAUUAAUAAUAAGUAGAAAAUACAAUAAUAAAAUCAAUAAUAUACAUUUGUGUGUAAAAUAAACAUAAUUUGAUAUAAAUUAUAUAUACAUAUGUGUAAAAAAUGGUAUUAUAUAAGGGCAUUAUUGAUUUUUUUAAGCACUAAAGUAUAUAUGAAUAAACAUUUUAAGAAAAAUGUAUUAUAAAAAUAUAUAAAUAAUAAUUAACAUAAAAUAUAGGCUAAUAUAUUAGAAUAGAAAAAGAAUUAAAAUAACAAUAUGUAAUGAAAUAAAAUAAUGUACAUGCAUAUAUAUGUGAAAAUAAGUAACUAUGUAUGCUAAGAUAAUAAUAAUAACAAUAGUAAAGAUAAUAAAUUAAAUGAUUUUAGCAAUAACAAUAAAACAGAGGACAAAAUUGGCAUUAAAGCAGUAAUGCAGGGGAGAAAUCUAAAACAAAUAAAAGAACGGGUCCAAAUCGCAAAGCGCGAACGACAUGGGGGACCGAAAGGGGAAUAUUCCCCACCCUCCAAAACCCGAUGUUGCAAGCUAGACCAAAAUGAAAUGAAAACAGAAUACGAGGCCAAAUCAGAAAGAAAGAAAACACUUGAUUCAAAAGCACCAGAAAAUGGGAAGUGCUGGCAGCACAAAUAUCCCUCCCUACGCCAGAACACGCGGAUCUAGCCGCGUCUGGGUCGGGUCAUCGGGUCGUGGCCUAAAUGGCACCGUUUCAGGGCCAUUAAAUCCAGCCCAAACGGUGACGUUUCAUGAUUUCCCACUUAACCAACGUUAAAGCUACAUUACCCUAAGCAGAAAAGAAAAGAAAAAGAUAAAAAAAACAUAGAAAUAUAUUAACAUGAAAAACCUAAAGAGAACUAAGGUUCUCUGCACCGUUCUGGGUGUUAGAGGUACCCUAGUAGCCAUUGAUCCUAGCCCCUGCUCCGAUGACGUCGAAGAGAGCCAGGAUCGCGCUACCAGGUACGCUUCCUUCCCCCUCUUCUUACUAUUCCUUUUUGAAACAAUAGUUGAUGAACAUAAAGAUGGGAAAAGAAAAUAAAGAGAAGACUCAAGUAACCAGCACAAAAUAGAAAGAAAAACUCAGAAAAUCACCUUUCUUUGCUUUUGAUUUUUUGUAUUCUCAAAUUUUUUUUGUGUAUUCAAUGCGUGUCCCUUUUUACAGUAUUCGAAUGGCCUUUCUAUGGCCUGAAUUUCAAAAUGAAAUGAAAAUAAAAGAAAAGAAAAUGCUCCCCCCAAAUCCCCUCUGUUGCCCCUAUUCUGCUAUCUUUCUCUGCUUGUUUUCGUGUGUAUUUUGCAGGUACGAGGGCAGAGGUCGACGUGGAGGUACGGAGGCAGGGGCGCAAGCGCAUGAGGCUUGUCACGUAGCAGUGGCGCACGUGCGAAGGGGAGAUUGCUGAGGCGCUGGGAUCCUUUACUGCUAGGGUUUUCGGUGCUUGGGCUGGGUAUUGGGUUUGUGAUACUUGGGUAGGGUUAGGUGACUUGGGUCUUUUGGGCCACUGUAAUCGGGUUAUGAAAAUUGGGUUUGGUAUUUAGAGGUUGGGCUUACUGUAUUGGGUUGUAACUGGACUGUGGACUUUUAAUUUUAAAUUUGGUUUUAUUUUAUUCAUUUGUUUAUUUGGUUUAUUUCACUAACGGGCCCGACAGAUUGGGCCUAUUACACAAUUCAUUUAGAACUAAAGAAGGACAAGAAGAAGUGGAAGGUUGUUGUGAAGGUUGAGAAGGCUAAAUGCAGAGAGCAUUAGGGGCGAAGCUAGAAUAACUUUUUAAGGGGGCAAAUAAAAUUUUAAUUUUUUAGUCUAUAUCUUUAUAACUUUUAAAGGAUUAAAUCAAAUUUUUAUAAUUUUAAGGGGGCCAAAGUACAAUUUUACCUUUACUAAUUUAAAAUUUUAAAAAAAUUAGAAAGCCUAAAUGGUAAUUUUUCAUUUUAGGGGGGGUCGGGGCCCAUGCCAAUCCCCCUAGAAUCGCCUCUGGAGAGUAUGUGCUCAAGGAUGCCAAUGAGAAGAAGACUCCUUUUCUUUUGUCUUCGAGGAUAUUUAUAGGAGAUAUCCUUUUGUCUAGUAGUGGUGACAUGACAGACUAUUACCAAGGAGUUGCCAUCAUGGAGUGCAUGGGGAACAUAUGUGGUGAGAUCUAUUCUGUUAUUCUCUUUGAAGUAGUACAAGGUUGGUUAUACUUAGGUGGAGCCUAAUAGUUUUUGAGACAAGACGUGGGGGACAUACGUGGUGGCACUCAUUCUAACCAUAGCAACGGAUGGCUUGAUGUAAGGAGCGUUCCUAUCAACAACGGAUGGUCCUACAUGAGUUAACUCGAUCAUGAGAUUGAGCGGCUGAUGACAUCCAAAGGACGAGAGGUGGAGAACCUUUUGUGAUAUCUUUCCGAUGUUCUCUAAGUGAAGAAAUACAUGUAUGAAGAAUUACAGAUGAAAUUGUGAAUCUAAGAAUGAAAAUAAUCUGGAACUAAAAAUGAAACUUCACUUUUAUCAAUUAUGAAUUUAGACUACUUAACUCCCAAAUGCUCUACCAAGACAGUAUAUAUAUAGACUUUGAGAUAACUGCUCUUAUUAACAUCUAGCUAACAAUUUUAGCUAACUCUAACUACCUCCCUAACCGACUCAUUUUAUCUUUAACAUUCACUCAUCUUCCCCACGGGCAAGACCCGAAGAAGAUUUCAAAACCGAGUGAAAUAAGAAACCAAGAGUGGCUUAGUAAGCACAUCAACCACUUGAUCAGACGUAGGAACUUCACCAACCAGAAUCGAUCCUUCACCAACCUUUUCAUGAACAAAAAAUAGAUCCAACUCCACGUGUUUAAACUUGGAGUGUAGAAUAGGAUUAGCAGCAAAAGCUAUCGCACUGGAACUAUCACUCCAAAUAUUAGGCGUAUCAUCAGACUUAACAUUUAAUUCCUGAAGUAACAACAACAACCACAUGACAUCGCUGGUGACUACAACAAGACUUCUGCAGUCAGCUUCAGCUGUUGAUCUAGAGACCACCUGCUAUUUCUUGGAUUACCACGAAACUAGAUUUGACCCAAAAAAUACACAAUACCUUAACGUGGAUCGUCAAUCAUCAAAGUCCAAUCCCUAGUUGGCAUCAGCAUACCCAACUAGAGACAGCUGUCUAGAUGGGCAAACAACAAUCCCAUGGUCAAGUGUGCUAGACAAGUAUAGCAAGAUCCGCUUGAGAGCAACCAAAUGAACAGUGUUAGGAUUAUGCAUGAACUGCAAAUCCUGUUUACUGCAUAUGCAAUACCAGGCCUAGUAAGAACAACAUAUUGUAAUGCUCCAGCAAGACUCCUAUACUCAGUCAGAUCUGACAGAGGAUCGCCAUCACCCUUAGACAUAUUUGAUGAGCUAAUCAUUGGCGUAUGAACACUUUUAGCAGUAGACAUAGAAUUUCGUUCAAGAAUAUCACGGGUAUACUUCUUUUGACAAAGAUGAAGACAAUCGGAAGAAGAUCGAGUCACUUCAACCCGAAGGAAAUAAUGAAGGUCACCCAUAUCUUUUAACGAGAACUCAUCAUUCAAUAACUUCACAAACCAGUCAAUAAAAGUAGGCACAUCCCUAGUAAUGAUAAUAUCAUUUACAUACACAAGAAUGUAGAGUGUAGAAUCAAGUCGUACACGAACAAAUAAUGAAGCAUCCAAUUUUGAGCCAAUGAAGCCAACUGUCACAAGAAACUCCUUUAACUUUUCAAACCACGCUUGUGGAGCUUGACGAAGACCAUAUAAAACUUUUUUUAGACGACACACCAGAGGUUUCCCAUCAGAACUAAACUGCACAUAACCUGGGGGUUGUUGCAUGAAUACCUCACUAUCAAUAUCACCAUUUAAGAAAGCAUUGUUCACAUCAACUUGUCGAAGUGACCAACCUCUAGAGACCGCAAUAGACAAGAUAACCCUGAUAGUGGCAGGUUUCACCACUGGACUGAAUGUUUCCUGGAAAUCACAACUUGGAACUUGAGAACAGUCUUUUGCAACUAAACGCACUUUACGACGAUCAACAGACCCAUCUGGAUUUCUCUUGACCUUAAACAACCAUUUACACCCUAUAACCUUAUAACUCGGUGGUAGAGCAAUAAGAUCCCAUGUAGCAUUGCGAAUAAGCGCAUCAUACUCAGCUUGAGCUGCAUCAUGCCACUCAGAGCUAGCAAACGCCUCCUCAAUCGUAGAAGGUUCCACAGCCUCAACAGUUAUGACUCUUGGUUUAAACACACCAACCUUUGAUUGAGUAAUCAUUGGAUGAACAUUUGUAACAGGCAAAGAAAUCUCUGGUCUUGUAGGAGCAGGCAGAACCUCAAUAGGAUGUGAAAUCUCUGGUCCUGUAGGAGCAGAUGGAACCGUAAUAGUGGGUGUAGUGAAUUGAUCAUUAGUAGUUGGUGUAGUAGAAGACGAACCAAUAGUAUCAGCGUUUGGUGAGCUAAAACUGAUAGGUGCCAGAGCAGUAGCUAUUCCAUCCUGAGGAACUGAAGACCUGUUCGAUGAACCUGAAGAAGUAGAUACAGACACUAAACCUUCAGACUGAAAAGGGACAGUCUUGACCAGAGGAACACAUGUGGGAAAAGUGACCGAUACACAACCAGACCCCUACAUAACAGAAGACAGAGAGAGAAAUUGUUGUUCAUCAAAUUCCACAUGACGAGAAAUUAUAAGCUUACCAUCAGGUAAGAAGCACUGAUAUCCCUUGUGACGAAAACUAUAUCCCAAGAAAGUGCAGGGCCGAAACCGAAACUCUAACUUAUGUAUCUGAAACGAUCGCAAAUACGGAUAACAACAAUACCUAAAAACACGUAAAUGGUCAUACUUGAGAUCAUGUCCAUAAAGAGCUCUAUACGGGGUUUAUCCGUUCAGUACCAGCAUGGGAAGACGAUUAAUCAGAUGAACUGCACAAGUAAACGCAUAUGCCCAGAACUCCAUAGAAAGACCCGCUUGUGUCAGAAGAGUAAUCUCCAUAUCCACAAUGUGUCAAUGUUUACGCUCAGCGACUCUAUUUUGUUCAGAAGUAUAUAGACACGUCAGGCGAUGAAUGAUACCUUGAAAAGCGAGAACCGAAGUAAAAGCCCGAUACUCGCCACCCCAGUCGCUCUGAAAUUGUUUUAUAGUUUUACCAAACUGAGUUUGAACUAAUUUCUAAAAUUGGCCAAAAUAAUCCACAGCCUGAGAUUUUUGUCGAAUCAGAUAAACCCAAGUGAACCGAGUACACAUAUCAAUAAAUGGCACAUAAUACAAAUUGUUAGCACAAGCAAUAGUCGCAGGUCCCUAGAGAUCAUAAACAACCAAAGUAAAAGGAUCAGUAUACUCAGUAGUUGAAGCAGAAAAUGACAAUUUAUGAAACUUUUCUUUUUUACAACCAGUACAAAUACUAUCAAUAGAAACUUUAUUCAAAUUGAUAUGACAGUUAUUAAGAACAAUCUUGACAACCGAAGUGGACGGAUGGCCAAGACGUUUGUGCCAUAACAAAAAAAUCUCACUAUCAUCAGUCUUAUUCUAAAUUCCAACCUGAGCAGCAUACGGAUUUAUAGUAUUUGGAGCAGAUGCUUCUGGUAGAGAAAAAUGAUACAGCCGAUUAUGAAUAUGCCCCAUCAACAGAAUUUGCUGUGUUAUGUUGUCCUUAAUAGCACAAUAUGUGGGGUGAAAUUCAAAAAAUACACCAUUAUCAGUUGCAAAUUGAGACACCGUAAAAUUUUUUUUUGUAUGACUAGGACAUACAAAACAUUAGAUAACCGAAGCAACCUAGAAUGCAUAGGUAAAACACGCUGACCAAUUGAUGAAAUCAUAGCAGGCGUUCCAUUACCCAUUAAAAGAGAAAAUGUACCUGAAUACGGGACAACAUCUCGCAAUGCUGAAGAAUCCUGAUAGACAUGAUUACUAGCACCAGAUUCAGGGUACCAAGAUGUAGUGCCAACCGGCCCAGGAACAGGUGAGUCUGUGCCAUCACCACUGGUCUCAUGAUGAUGAGUAGUGUUAAUAGAAGGGUCAGAGUAAUCAGACGCAUGGAUAUCACCAAGUCGAGGAAGCCCAAUACAUACACGAGCCCACGGUUUAGUACACCGCAAAACUGCUACACCACCCGACGGUUGACCAUGUGGCCUGAAAGUAAUAGAUGGAUCAAUCUGCAAAUUAUUAGAAACAAGCUCAGUGGCCAUUGGAGGGGUAGACGACCUAUUACCAUGAGUAGGCCCAAAGCCACCAUCUAGCCCACUAUUAAGCACAAAACCAGACAGCCCAUGAUGAAGACCAAACGAGGGUGGUCCAGAACGUUGAGGCCUAGUCUUAUGUGUUAUCAAGGGCCCAGUUGGCCCAAGUGAUGCAUGCGGCCCACACCAAUUGGACAACCCAACAUGCGGCUGACAAUACCAACCCCACUGUUGACCAUCACAAAAAUUUGUACCAUCAGCAUAACAAUUUUGACUAGCCCCAUAAGCAUUUUGACCAGCCUCAUAAGCACUUUGACCAAGAUUAGAAAACCUAGGUCGUGUGUUUUGCUAGGAAGGCCAACCAUGAGGGCCAGAAUCAUCAACAGUUGACAUCAGAAAUCUUGCCAGAGAAGCUUAAUCACGAUGGUACCGGUAGUAGCAACGCUGGGCGACAUGACUGAAUCUGGAACAGAUCUGGCAUUGGAGAUGAGACCGGAAGCUUCUACUACGACUGUGCGAACUUGAACGGCCACCAUGUGUAGAGCCAUCUACGGCCGACGGCGAAGAAUCUUUCACCAGAUUUGCGGCAUACACGACCUCCCGAUCUGCUUGUACCUAACGAUUCUCAUAUUCAACCAGAGCAUCCACUAGACGUUGAAAAGGUAAAGUAGUCGGAGAUAACGAAGUAGCACCGCAAGCAGAGGGAAGGCUCGCAAACAGCUCCGCCGUUCGCUCCACCGUCGAGAUGGAAGAUCUAGAUACUUCCAAGAGUGCACACAUCCCUUUCAACUUCACAACAUAAUCUCGAAUCGACAGACUCUCUUUCUUGAGGGAAUGAAAUUCAUGAUGCAAACGUGAUUGUUUCAUAUCUGUAUCGGCUGCAAAUAGUGCCAACGCCGUUGUCCACACAUUAGAGGCCGAUUGUACAUCCGUGAAAGAAGAUAAAAUCGACGAGCUAAUUGUAGAUAAGAGCCACGACGUGAGCAUAUUAUCCUGCUGUUGAAAUGCCGAAGCCACUAGAUUAAGCAUAAGAGCACCUUCAAGUGACUGCAGAAACCUCGGCGGAGCAGAAAGAGAACCGUCAACAAAGCCAAACAAAUCAUAACCAUUGAAAAUAAAACGAACCUGUUGUUUCUAUUGAACAAAGGUUCCCUCAUCGAGCUUUACAACAUCAUGUCGAGGAAAGGAAUUGACGAUGCGAUCAGCAGCAAAAACCAAUCCAUGCGGUUCAACAGAGUCAGAGGCAACAGAAUCCGUAGUAGCCAUGAUCAAGGAUCACCGAGCGAUUGAUACCAUGAAGAAAUACAGGUAUGAAGAAUUACAGAUGAAAUUGAGAAUCUAAGAAUGAAAGUAAUCUGGAACUAAAAAUGAAACUUCACUUUUAUUAAUUAUGAAUUUAGACUACUUAACUCCCAGAUGCACUACCAAGACUGUAUAUAUAUAUAGACUUUGAGAUAACUACUCUUCUUAACAUCUAGCUAACAAUUUUAGCUAACUCUAACUACCUCCCUAACCGACUCAUUAUAUCUUUAACACUCAGAAUGUCACAUGUCAAGUCCAAGUGAAGGUAUGACGUUAACCUUUUAAAAUUCAAUGAUCAAAAUGUAAUUUAAUAUAUCGAUAAUAGAAUAUGUGAAGAUUAUGAUCAUCCAUUGUAGCUCCCAUAGCCUCUCUCAAAAUGAAUUGGAACUUAAUUUGCCAAUCAUGGAAUCUCAUCUUGGCCACUGCCUGCGCCCAAGAAAAGGUUAUGGACGUUGCAUCCGAGCUAACCACAAUCCAAUUAUCACUUCCACCAUAAUUCGCCUUAAAAUCCUAAAGCCAUAUGCAAUUUUGAGACCUUCCAAUACUGCCCACAGCUUCGCCUGGAUGACUAUAGAGUACCCAACCUACCAGUCACCUCCCCAAGGAGCCACGGGUAACACCACCAACACUCCUAAUGCCCAGAGUAAACAAUCCCUAUCCCUUGGCUUUUCCCAUUGAAUAUGAGCAACCCUCCUCUACCAAUUUAUCGGAACAUCCUUAUUGCACCCUCCAUAUAUCGCAUCUCAUGCCCACGCUAAUAUUAUCUAAUUUAAAAUUUGUAGGAUAAAUAUAAAUAAGUUAGGUUUUUAAAAUUUAAAACACAUGUAAAAACUAAAAAAAAAGUAGUCAAACUUUUUUGUAAAUAUUUUAAAUAAAUAAGAGUCAAACUAAAAGAAAAUAAAUUUCAAACUUUUAAAAUAUUUUGGUUUCAAAUAAAAUCAAAAUAACAAAUUUUUGAGAUUUUGAAAUAUAACAUUUUUUUUUUGAGAUUUUACAAUAUUGUAUUUUGAUAAUUGAUAAUUGUUAUAAAAUAAAAAAGGAAGAAAAGUAAAAAAGGGAUAUCUACAAUAUAAGUCUAUAUUUAUAGAUAUAAGAAGUAUAAAUAAUAUAAAAUUUUAUUUCUAAUCGACAUUAGUGUUUUAAAGUACAUCAAACUUUCUAUUCUAAUAGACAUUCAUUUUUAUAAUAAUAAAAUAUUUAUAACAAUAAUAUAUAUUUUUAAUUAAGCAUUUAUUGUAUUUGCAAUUUGCUAUCAAGUUCAUCUAAUAUAAGUAGAAAUCUAAUAUUUUAUGACAAUAAAAAAUGAUAAUUACAAUUUCUAUAAAUUAAAAUAAAUUAAUAAUUUAUGUUAUGAGUAUUAUUAUUAUUGUUGUUGUUUUUAAAAUUAUAUUUAAUUUAAGUUUGGAUCACUUUAGAUUACUUGUUCGAGUCAUUUUUAAUUUGAGUCUAUUUCAUAUAUGGGUUAAUUUUUUAUUUAACCUAUUUUUCAUGAUUAAAUCAAAGUAAAUUGAAUAGAAAUAUGAGUUAAUGGGAAAGGACUCAAGGAGGAGCGUUGAAGGUUCCCAAUUUUUGAAGGACAACAAAAAUCAGGUGGUCCUCACUAUUUAACACUUGACGUCUCCAUGACUGCUCCAUUGCUUUCAUUACUUUCUUCUUUGUAAAGCCUUUCCCUCUGCUAUUUAUAGUACCUACCUGCCUUCUUUUACUUUUGUUUCUUUACUGCUUUUUUAUUUCAAUCUUUAUUUGUUUCUACAUAGCUUUACAGAGGGUUGUGAGGGAGGAUUUAGACAAUGGGCUCAUCUAAGUUUAGGGUUUAUUUAUCAACCACUUAAACAAUCAUAUAAUUCUAUUCCAAAGAUAUAUCAAUAUUUUAAGUAAAAUAAUUAAAUAAAAUAUUUUUAUAUUUCAAUGGGUUUGUUUCGAUUCGAAUUAAAAUUUUAAUAUUAAAAUUAAUAUUUGAUUUUUACUUAAGGGUAAAUUAUACUAACAGUCACUCAACUUUGGAGUAAUUGACAAAAUAGUCACCUAGGUUUCAUUUUAGUCAUUCAACUUUAAAAAAAUUACAAAACAAUCCUUUUAACCAUUUUUCGUUACAGACGUAACGGCAAAGUGACAUGACAGAUGACAGAUUGCUUGGUGUCAUUAACCGUCUAGUUGGCCGGUUAGCACCAAUUUAAACAACCCCUUUAGCACCAAUUUAGGGUUUAAGCAGUAGAAGAAAAAAAGAAAAAGAAGGAGAAGAAGAAGAAGGAGAAGAGAAAAAUAGAGAUGUUGGUUGUGAUUCCGGUGUACUAUUGUGGAAACCCAGUCAAAUUAAACAUGUCUUGGUCCAAUGACAACCCAAGUAGGAGGUUUUUUUGGAUGUAAGAAGUUUGGGAGUGGGUUUCAAAAACCAUGUCGUUUUUUUCACUUGGUUUGAUCCACCAUUGACGCCUCGUUCACAAAUUGUGUUGUUAGGUCUUUUAAAAAAAGUGAGGACAUUGGAGAAUGCAAGGAGGAGGGAGAGAAAAACAUGGUUUUUGGUGCUUGUAUUUGUAAUAUUAUUGCUAUUUUUUAAACCCUAAACCAGCUUAUGUUGUUGUUAGCACCGAAAACCAGCUUAUGUGGCUGUUGGUAUACUGUUUUGUUAUUCAUUCAUGGUGAGUUGGGUCCUAAAUGUAAUGGCAUAUAAAGGGUAGAAGUUUGCUAAUUUUAAUUGGAGAAUAUUUGGUUAUUGUAAUGGUAUGGUAUUCUUAUACAUUUGUAUUUCAUUUCAUUUGAAUUUCUGAAGGUUUAAUCUUCUUUUAAAAUUUGAAAGAGUAUUUGAUUUUUGUUUUUUAUUUUCUUACAUUGCAUGGUUCAAUGCUCAUAUGUUAGAAGAAAUAAAAUAGAUGAAAAACAAAAAUAGAAAAAUAUUGUAAGGGCAAACUAUUGCCAAAUUUCAUGGAUUAAUGCUCAUAUAUUAAGACCAAUCUGUUUACAAAAGGAAGGGCAAACUAUUGCCAAAUGUGCCUACAACUCAAUACAAUUGAACAAAUAUGAAUUAUAUGCAAAUUUACAAAAAAUAAUCUACCUAAGUUAAUAAAUCAGUAGCAGGUAUAGGAAAAUAUACACAAGUUCAAAAAGUUAACAAAAUAAAGUCUUGUUUACAAUGUCAUCAUUGGUCUGUCACAAAUGACUUUUGAGUAGAAGACAUUCAUCUAACAAUGGUUGGUUUCCUCUUGAAUGGAAGCUUUUCUCUUGGGCAGCAUCUUGUUGGUGAUUUGGGGCUAAUUGUUGAGGAGUUAGGGAAGUUUGUAAUUGAGUUGGGUAGUCUUUUGCUGAUUUGAGGUAGAUUGUUGCUGAGUUAGGGCAACCACUUGGUUGUGAACGCCAACUUUGUGUCUUUUGACCUAUAGGAACAAGUGAAAUCCAUGAAACAAAUUCAUAACUUAAGUAAUAUAAUUAAGCAAAGGCAGAUGACUUACUGGAAUAUUUUUGCCAACUUCCCUUUUGCAACUCCUCUUAUUGUGGCCUAUUUUGUUGCAUUUACUGCACCUCAUUUCCUCCCUUCUCUUGCUCAACAUUUCUGUUGUUUGUGGUUUAUUAGGUUCUUUCCUUCUCACUUUAGUAGGUCUGCCAGGUGGCCUUCUUAGUGUAGGAGGCAGUAUUGACAGCAUGUUUGGCACAGACAACCAUUCCUAAGGACCUCUUACUAGCCUUAUGAAGUUGGAGUAAAUGGCAAGCUAGGUUUGCUUGGUGUACCAGGUUUGUACAUAAGUUUCUAGAAACUCAUCUUUUAGAUGAACGACAGCCACUGCAUGUAUUCAAGGGAUGGCAGUGAGAUCCUAAUUCCUGCAGGAGCAGGAAUUCUCAACUAGGUCCACCACAUGCUGACUGCCUGGACCACAUUCAACCUGAUAGUUGUCCUCAUUAGUAUAUGAUGGAACACACCUAAAAAGCAGACACUAAAGCAAUAUUAAAAAUAACAUGUGAUCAGCCCCACCAAUAAUUAUACAUAAGGUAUAAGUAUAUUUAAAAAAUGGCAGAAUGAAGACAUACAUAUAUUGGUCCAACAACAUGUGAUCAGCCCCAUUAGCAAUUAUAUACAAGGCAGAAUAAAUGCAUCAAUAUACUAAAAAGGGUAAAUUUACCUCAGUGAAUCUUUGAUAUUGACAUCUAGCUUUUUCUUGAUCUUUGGACACAAGAUUCUUUUAAUUUUCUCAGCUUCUUCCUUCUUCUUAACAAUCAGCAACAUUAUAUUGGUCCUAAUUGUUUCCAUCAUUGUCAGAAUAGGUUUCCCUCUUUCUUCCAAUGUCACCUACUAGUAAGCAACAUAAAGGAUUAGUGAACUGCAUGUACUUAAUGAUUAGUAAGUAACAUAAAAAAAUAGGGGUUUACCUUGUUAAAGCAUUCAAAAAGAUUAUUCACCAACAUGUCAAAUUGACUCCUAAUUGAGAAGUGGGACCUUGACUAGUGAGCAGGGUUAUUUUCCUUCAAUCAAUCAUAAGCAUGCUAAUUGGUAUUUUUCAGUUUAGCCAUGACAUCCUCAAAAUCCCUUUGAGUGCUUGCUCUGGCAGUUUUCCAAAGCAAAUAUUUCAAUUCUUUUAUUCGGAAACCAACUUUCUUGAAAUUGGCAUGUAGGUGUCUAACACAGUAUCUUGUUUCUACAUUAGGAAACAAUAUAUAUUGCUUUCAGAAGUCCCUGCAAAUAGAACAAAUAUAGUUUAAUUCUUUGACAUGCCAUAAACCCUAAACAAAAGCAACAUAAAACAAAGUAGACAAAUGGAGUUUUACCUUUUGUUUGUCAGACAUGAAAAAUAUUUGGUAUGAGCUCACAAUUUUCCAAGUCUAGUACGACCAAAUCCAAGAACUAGAGUCAUGAUGCUUGGUUUUCACUUUCAACAGCAGCAUAUGCAAUAGGAUAGAUGUCAUUAUUUGCAUCUAUCCUAAUAACUGCCAAUAGGUAGCCACCAAAGUAUCCUUUCAAGAAACAUUUAUUUAAACCUAUUAUCCUCCUACAACCAACCCUACAGUCAUUUUUGCAUGCCUACAGACAGACAUAUCCUUUGAAACAACAUAUUAUCCAGAUAACAGAUUGUUGUUGUCCCCUCAUUUUGGGUCCUAACCUCCAAAAAAUACUCAUAAUUCUUAUCAUAUUGAACCUUAUGAGCUCCUUCAAUUAAUUUCAAUGCUCUAAGUUUAGCCUUCCUGCAUUUGGUUAGUGAGAUAAGGCAAAAGAAAUCACUUUUAUCAUCUUGUUACAAUGAUGUCAAAGAAUAGUCAAGAUCAAUAAUGAGGUUUUCUUUAUAAUGUUGACCUAUCCAAGAUGAGGUUACAUUCUUAUUUCUAUAGACUUUAGAGCAAGAAUGGUUAGAGUUUGAACUCCUAAUUUUCCAAGUUUGGUCAGUAGGGUCAUUAGGGUUUAGUCUAGAGGCUCAUAUGAACCAAGAACAUUUUUCAUUGCAGACUGCCUUUAACCUCUUUAGAUCAUUUUUGGAGAACUUAAUAAAAUAACUAUUCAACCUACCAUACUGAUUGGGAGCUUCUUUUAGAUUGUCUUUGGACUUAAAGAACAUUCCAAUAUGAAGUUUAGGAUUACUCAUGUCAUUGUCUAGGUUGCACUCAGGCCAAUUUUGGCCAUUUGAGUCAGAUUCAUGUGCACUAUCUAACCUCUCAGAAUCAUCACUAUCACACAGUUCCCCUAUUUCUAUAUCAUCCAUGUUUAAACCAUCUAGAUUAACCGUUAUCCUAUUAAACACAUCACUAUCAGAUAUAUCAUUAACAAACCCAUCACUAUCAGACACAUCAAAAUCAACCAUUUCUUCUUCACUCUCAUUAAAAUUAUCAUUAAUUAAACCUGCCAAAUAAAUUUACAGUCAAUAAAGGCAGACAACAACCAAACAAUUUAAUACAACAUAAGCAAUGACCAAACAAUUUAAUACAACAUGACAGACAAUAACCAAUACAAAAAUAAUUUAACACAAACACAACCAUUUUUUUCAUGCACAUGGCAGGCAAUAACCAAACACUUUAACCCUAAACCUAAGCAAUGGCAGACAAUAACCAAUACAAUAUAGAAGCUAAAGAAAAAAUUUAAUCCAAUUGAUAUUUGAAACUAGGAGCAGAUUUGUCUUUUAAUAACAAAACAAUAACCAAACUUGAUAUUGUUUGAUACAAACUGUAAUACCCAAUUUGCCCGGCCCACAAUAAAAACCAAAUAAAUAAAAAAAUUAAAACCAAAUAGUUCACAGUCCAUGUCCAGUUACAGUAGCCCAAUUACAAUAAAAAACUAAGCCCAAUAAAACCCAAAUGUCAUUAGCCCAAAUAACCUAAACCCUAACCCAAUAAGCAACCCAAUACACUCAACAUUUUCAGCAAAAAAACCCUAGGCAGGACCUAACUAUCGCUGCUGUCGCCGCCUCUUGCGCGCCGCACCUCCACGUGUGCUGCCACGUCUAUACCUGCAAAACGAACUAGAAGAGUCCUAAAGUAAAAAACAGUGUAAAAAAUAGAAAAAAUAGAAAAAUAAGUGGUAUUUUCGGGCUAUAAAAAGGGCUCCAAUUUUGUAUUUUUUUAACUUAAGAAUGAAUCAAAGACAGGGAAAAAAUCAACACAAAAGAAAAAUUCAAAGGUAGUUCUACUGUUUUUUAUUUUCUUUAUUUUCUUUAUUCGCUUGUUUUCUUAAAAAAGGAAAAUAAAAUAAAAAAAAGAGAGGAAAACGUACCAUUUGAGGUCGGGAAGUCGAAAAGCACCAAAAAAUGGGCUCUGUUUUGGUUUUUCAACCACCACGGACGGCGACGCCGUCGCCGGUGACUGAUGGCUGCCGCAGUGGUUCGGCACCGGAGUUCCACCGAAUUUUGGAAAGAGAGGAAGAACUUUGAGAGGUUUUUGAAGGGUUUUUUUUUUGAAGAAAGGAAUAAAAUGAAUUUUUGAUAAAAAAGUUGAUUUAUAAAGCUUUUCAAAAUGGAGUCAUUUUGGUUUAAAACACCAGGCGCAAAACGGUGCUGUUUUAGGCCCUUGACCCGCGCGGUGACCCGAACCAGGGGAAGGAUCCGCGUGUUUUUGCUUUAGCGGGAUAUUUGUGCAAAUGGUCCCUCCACUUUUUAUACUUGCUUUAAUUAGAUCCUUUUUGUUUAUUUUUAUUUCUUUUAAUUAAGCCUGUUAAUUUUGUUUCAUCGCAUUUUAAUCCCAAAUGAAGUGACGCGUUUUGGAGGAAGGGAAAAUUACCCUUUUAGUCCCUCAUUGUUAUUCGCGCGUUCAGAAGGGUCAUCCCUUUUUCAUUUACUUUUGAUUUGCCUUAGAUUUUUUUAAAAGCUCAAUUUAGUCCUUUUUUGUUAUUUUUGCUAUUUUAUUAUUAAUUUAAUUAAUUUAAUAUUAUUAUGUUAUUAUUUUACCUUUAUUAUUCAUAUAUUUAUUUUUAUCAUAACUAUAUCAUUAAAUCAAUUUGUUUUUACGUUAUUAUUUCCAUUAUAUUUCUUAUUUACUUAUUUAAACACUUUAAGUGCACUUUUUUUUAUGUAAUUUCAAAACUUUAAACUAUUUAUUAAUAUUAUUAUUUUUAUAACCCUAAUUUCACCUUUUUUUAAUAAUCAUUUUAAUAUUUCCUAGAUUAAGUUCCUCAACGCUAUUUUGUGUAUUUAUUUAUUAAUUUCUUUUAAUUUUAAUAUUGUUUUGUUAUAUUUUUUAUACUAUUUCUUAUACCUUCAUUAUUCAUUAUUAUUGUUGAUUUUAUUGUUUUUAAUAUUAAAGUGAUGUAUAUUAUGUGAUCAUUGUUAUUUUACAUUCGUAUUCUCGUUAUUCAUUUUUUUAAUAUUUUAUUCGUGUAACAUUUCAAGUAUCGCAUCAAUUUCGACCCAAAUGCAUAUUUAAAAAUAAAAAUAAAAAUACUUCGUAUUUUGGAAUUUAAAAAGAUCGUAUCCUAACUUACAGAGUCUCGAUUUUUUUGAUAAUUCUAAAUAUACGACCCCUUUUAAAAAAACAUGUUUUAAAAAAAUUGUCUUGGGAAUGAGAAAAGGAACGUGUUCCAACUUACGAGAUAUGAUUUCUUCUCCAAAGCCGAGAUGAUCAAAAUUUCUAAAAAUAAAUAAAUUUUUGGUGUUUAUUCUCGUGUUGGGAUUAGAGAUAUUGUGUCCUAACUCACGGGAUACAAUUUUUUUCUCAAUUAAUGUGAAAUUCACCCUUCUUUUUUAAUAAGAGGAUCAUAUUUUUAAAUUUCUUUGCGAAUUUUUAAUUUUCCAACAUUAGGACAUUAAUUAAUCAAUUAGGUACCAAUUUUUUGGGCGUUACGAGGGUGCUAAUCCUUCCUCGUGCGUAACCGACUCCCGAGCCCGUUUUCUCGAAUUUUUUAGACCAAAAUCAUUAUUUUAAUAAAUCAAAAUGUUUUAUUAAUUUCAAGGUGACCCGAUCACACCUCGAAAAAGAUUGGUGGCGACUCCUGUUUUCUCAUUUUUAUUUUCAAAAUAAAAGUCGACCCCUUAUUGUUUUAAAAAAUGGUUUCGAAACAAACAAUAAACAUGAUAUACACAACAUCAUGCACUUGCAAAUGACAUACACAACAUUAGUUUGAUACAAACAAUAAACUUGACAUACACAACAUCAGUUUGAUACAAACAAUAAACAUGACAUACACAAUUUCAUGCACAUGGCAUACCAUACAUAGUAUCUACCAUUCACUUUAAUAAGCAGACCCUAAACCCCAUAUGAAUAACAAAUAAAACCAAAAUCAAAAUAACCCUAAAUCUAAAAAAUCAAAAACUAAAUAUAGAAACUUACCCGUUACAGUGGAUGUAACAACAUUGGCAGCUUCUCUUCUAUUGACCAUUGUUGUUAAGAAUCAAAAACAUUGAUAGGUUUCUCGUUUUGUCUUCUUUUCUCCCCAAACAAAAAAUAUAAAUCGGUUUCUAAACCUAGACCCUGUUAAUCGAUUACCAAAUUAAUUUUCUAACCCUAAACCAACCUUGUUAAUCGAUUCCUGAAUCAUUUUCUAACCCAAAGUUGUGGACUCAAAUUCGGAUAAUUAAAAAAAAUGUUGAUAUCCAACCCAAAACUUCUCGAUCGAGCCUAUUGGUCUAUUUGUGUGAAAUAAUGGGCGAAGUUUAGGAGAGAAAGUAGAGGUGUUCAUGAGUCGGGUCGAGUUUGGGUUGGGCCUAGACAUGGUAUUAACAUACAAUUUUAUGUUUGCCCAAGCCCAAUCCGACCCAAAAUAUGGGUCUAAAUUUUUUCUCAAACCUGUAAAUAACUAACCCAAGCCUAUUUUAGGCCUAUCUAUAUUACUUUUAAAAAAAAUGUUAUUUUAUUUUAAUAUUUAAUAAAUUUAUAUUUUUAAUUAUUAAAAUUUUAUUUAUAGUCAUUUAUUAAUUUUUGUAAUGUUCACAUUAUAGUGGUUGUUAACUAAUAAGGUGAACAAGGAAAGAAGAUAAAUGUAGAAUAAAGGAGAGAAGGAUGAAAGUCUGGAAGAGAUUUAUGUUUUCCUAGGAGAGAGUUUGGAGAUUUAGGAUAAGAAAAAGCCCCACGUGAGCUAUUUGUAUGACCAUUUUAUAGUGGGGGUGUAAACUUAGUUACGUGUUCUAAGAUUGUUGAUGUGAAAGUCUGAUUUGAUACCCUUAACAGUGACGGUAACGAUAACGUGAUGUCUCAGGAUAAGACAUAUUAGAGCGACUAGCAAUCAAUUACUCUAAAUCUCCACGUGACCCUCACAUAGUCUUAGUGGAGCUAUCCCUUUCCAAAGUUUGUCAAGUUAGGGUUCACGAACUAGCCUAGAUUCUCAAUGUGAUUGGUUUCAUUGGGAGGCAUGUGUUCAGCUCUCUAUAGAUACAUGGUCAGGUUCGCGAGGUAUGUUAUAAGGUUCACGAAGCCCAUUACAUAAGGUAUAACAAGAAUAUUAUAUACUACUUUAAUUUUUGUGCUAUAAAUUACAUAAUAUAUAAAAAUAACAUAUAUAUAACAUUACAAACUUAAAGAAAACAUGUCGGAUUGGGUUGGACUCGUGCCAUGAAUAUUCAAACCCGAUCUCAUCUAUAUUUUAAACGAAUCUAAUUAUUUUGCCAAGCCCAUGUUUCAGGUCUAACAUUUUUACUUAGAUCCUUUUAAUUUUAGGCAGACACUCCGACUUGGAUAUGUAAACUUUCCAUGAAGUAGCUGGGAAACGGAUUUAAAUUGAGGCAAAGGUCGCAUCAAACGCGGUGUUUAUUACUUAAGCUGAUAAUCCUCUAUGUUAUACCAAAUGGAGAUUAUAAACAUUCAAAGAUACUUCCAAUAUAUUUUUAAAAGAUGAAAUAUAUUGGACUGAAUACAUACUGCUACCUAACCUUUACAUAUUGAAUUCGAAUGACACAUAGUUUACAUGUGAAACCCAAAAGUAAGAUCCUUUAACCAUUCAAAGCGUUCAAUGACGUGAAAACGCUUGCUUUUCUUUUCUCUCUCUUUCUCUUUCAUCUUUUUCAUCUUCAAUUCAUGCUGCAGUUUCUUCUCUUCCAUGGCAGAAACCAAUAUUGCGUUCUUUUUCUCACCCUUUUUGUUACGUUUGAUGAAAACUACGUUGUUCAACGGAACUGUUUCAACUACAUUAGCUGAGCAUUUACAUCCACUAUACAUCCCCAUUAUUCUCUUCUCUAUGAAACCCUUGUUUAAAUCUUGUAGCUUCUUUGAAACUUGGCCAACUUUCUUGUUUUUAACAACCUUACUGUUUCGGCUCACUGUAUUUCUACGAACUUUCAAGUCUUGCAAUUCUAGUACGGGUGCUCGAACCACACCUAUCCUGAAAAACCCCCACAUUGACCAUGUCUGGUUUCGAAUUCCGACAUUGACUGGUCGAGUUUUCGACAGGCUUACCUGCGGUUUGGGACUUGGAUCUGUGCUGAGCUUGUUUCUGAAAUUUAUAGACUUGGAGUUGGAAUUUGAAACUGCGAUGGAAUCAGUAGUAUUAUUACUGCUGCUAACACUUGUGAAGCCACUUAAUGAACCAUGGUCCAUGGACUCUGACCACCGGCACCCACUGUCAGACCAAACCAAGUCCCACAGGGGCAAUAUCUGGCCUUUAAAGAAGACCUGAUCAGCUGAACACAUUUGUGGGUCUGUUAAUGAGCCAAAGUUGAAAUCUUCAUCAGAUUUAAAUGCUUGGGGUUCACCAUUUUCUUCAUUCCUUGGUUGAACUUGGUUCUCCAAUGGCAGAUCAGAUAGUGACAGUGCGUCUUCUUCAUCACUGCUAAUUGCAGUGCUUUCCAUGGCUUCCAAAGUUGAAACAAACUGAUACUUGUUGUAAUUCAAGCAAGAAAUGGUGCAGAAAGUGGGAUUUUAUAGGCAAAUUUUGAAUUGCAGAGAGAAUCAUAGGGUGGGGAUUGAAAUAGGAAGAUAAAUAGAAUAUGAAGAAACAAGGGGAAAAUGCAGAAUUGCAGUGCAUUAGCCUAGCUAGUAUUCAUGCUUUGAUUCUCUGCAAUAUUCAAAGAUGGAUACUGAGCAUAUGAUUUCCAAAUAAUUGAAUAUAUAUAAAUAUAUAUAUAUACCUACAUCAAUUUAUGCACUCACAUUCAUUUUCUUCAAUAUUAUUGUCGACUGUGGAGGAAAGUGUGGGGGCGGUUAGAUUUUAUACUCUUGUGGGGCUAAAAGCUUAAACACAAAACGUAUGUUAUGAAAAACCCAAUGAGGUGUUGGUUGUGCUGGUAAAAAGCGAGACACUGUAAUUUGUGAACAUUAAGUGCAGGUUACAUAGGUGAGUUUAGUAAGUAAAUUAUUUCGUUCAGAUUAGUUAAUUAUAACUUUUUUAAAAGGUAAUACCAAAAUAAUGAAAUCUGGGAAGGAAAAAGUAAACAAUGGAAUGGGAAGUUUAUGUUAAGUCUCUGGGUCGUCGUCUGACAGCAGAAACAAGUUCAGGGAUUCCAUCUUAUGAAAGGAAUAUAUAAUUGGGUAUUUUAACCCGUCGGCAAUGGCAUAUACAUCGUUGAGUGGAAAUUUAAGUUGAAGUUUUCCAAGAAUAGAAGACUUUUAACCCAUAUUCAAAUAUAUAAAUAAAUACUUUUUUUUAAAUAUUUAUAGAUCGAAUCAUAGAUGACUUGUUUUCAAGUCUUCAAUUAAAUUUCCACGAUUUCUAUUUCUUACCCUUCAAUACAAAUUUUAAUCAUAUAAAUAGACUAAUCAAGAUUAAAGAAGGGUGGGUGGUUGGUGUUGUUUUUAUUAUGUAAUUAAUAAAAGAAAAUUCGGGUGUUAAAUUUUAUAGGGUCGGUGGCCUUGGCAUUGGUUAAAGGGAAGUUUUAUGUGGUGCAAAACAGGAGCUUUAAAUUUUUUGAAUGAUUAUGGCGAAGGAGAGACCUUUCAAUUUAAUAGAUUGAAUGCGACACUUUAUUCUUUUACUCUGCUCUAGAGGCCCAUCUACCAGGAUAGAAUUGACUUGUAUUACAUUAUGGUUUUUUCUUUACCGGCUUUAGGAAAAAAAGAUUCAAGAUCAUGGAUCAUUUAAAUUUUCAUUUACUUUGAAAAUUCGAAUGAACUGAUGAUAAGAAUUCUUAACUUCGUAAUAUUGUCCAGGUACCUAUGUUGUUGAUUGAAAGAUCCUAACUCCAUGAAGUAUUUUAUAUAUAAAAAGUGAGUAUAUACAUAUUAGCUACAUACCUAUGUUAGGCAGUCCUAUACCAUGCAGGUCCAUCUCUGGUUUAUGUUUUUCCUAUGCAUACAAUUUGUAGAAUAGCCAUUAAAUUUCUUACUCGUAUAAACACUGUAGUUAUCAACUAUGGGUUAUGAUACUUGAAUAUAAAGAAAAUUGCAUGAAAAAAACUGUAAGGUCUAUAUUCUUAGAUAAAAAGUUACUCCGGGCAAAUGGCUAAUAAUGAUGGUAAAUCACCUUUCCUAAAACUGACGAUGGCAGUCAUUAGAAUUAUGUAGUUUUUAUGUAACAUUUAAACACAACAUAUCUGUCCAAAAGUCUGGAUUGAUUUACAAAGGAACCCAGAGUGUACCCGGUUACUGAGUUCGCAUCCUGCUGCUUUCUGCUGCCCUGACUUGAGAGAAGUAAGGAUGGGCCUGCAACAGCAAAAACAAAUAUAUCAUGCCAAUAUAUGGGGAUUCAUUAUUAUGUUACACAAACUUGGGUUUUGAGUUCAACAUGCGUAUGUAUCUGGCACAGACAUGAUCAGAUUUUAUUUCUAUGUAUUUGGAGAAUAUUUGAAAAUCAUCUCUCUAUCCAAAUGUCAGACGUGGGUAUAUGCUGGAUGAUAAAUGAUUUAAGAAAAAUGAAGUGGCCAGAUGAUAUGACUACCCAAGAUCCACUUCAUAUUUUUAUUGAGGACAAUAACAUGUUUCCAAGGAGCACGAAGAAAAUGCUCAUUAAUAGGUUGCUCUGACUCUACAUUUUUCUUGAAAUACACAUAUCACAAACAUACCAUUACACCUGAAUCCAAUUAACUUAGGUUCAUUUCAUAUUUUACAAGUCAUACAUUAAGAUUUAAUAAAAGAAAAGAGCAUAGAGAAAUGGUAGUAGCAUUCAUAAAGUUUAUUGUAGACCUACCAUGGCUUCUCUUGCAGUUAGCCUGUCUUGAUGAUCGUACCGCAGCAACUUAUCAAGAAAAUCAAUUGCCUGAAAGCCGAAGAGCUCAAAGAAUGAAUAUUAUUUAUUAAGACAUUUAGUGCACUGUAACUGAGCUUAUAGUAUUCAACUUCCUAGAUGUUUGCCUCAAGAAGAAAAAUGACCUCUGGAGAAACAAGAUGCUGAUUAUCCGCAUUAAUGAAUUUGGACCAAGGUUUACGGCUGUGCCUGAAAAAUAAUAUAGCAAAUGCGUAAUGGAGAACAAGUUAACCAUUCCCCUAUUAACAUGUCUACCCAUCAGUGUGUCAGCACCACAAGGUGCUUUGUGAUGGUUUAAUGUUAACUAGUGCUUUUGUUUACAAUUAAGUUCAAAAGCAUGCACUAUGCUGUGCUUCAGCUCUUCAUUUAAAAAAAAAAAAGACAAAUUCCACACUAUUAACAUGUCUACCCAUCAGUGUGUCAGCACCACAAGGUGCUUUGUGAUGGUUUAAUGUUAACUAGUGCUUUUGUUUACAAUUAAGUUCAAAAGCAUGCACUAUGCUGUGCUUCAGGCUUUCAUUUAAAAAAAAAAAGACCAAUAUCCAGCACACAUUUGGACAUGGAACAGGGAUAGUGCCCCUCCAGGGACUCUCCAAAUAUAUAUAUGUAUGGAGAGAGAAAGAGAGAGAGUUUAAAAAAACCUUAAAAACAAUUAAACAUGCCAUGUCAGGGACAUACCCAUAUCCAACACUCACAUUGGAGUCUAAGUAACAUGGACCCAACAUAUUGGAUAUAUAUUAAUUCUUCACAUACCUUCCAACAAGUGCAUCAAGUUGAGGAUCCAACUCUAAAUGGUACUUGUUUAAAUAUGCAUUUAACUCAUCAGUCCCUAGUACCUGAAGGUGCAUUAAUAGCAGUCAAAAGUUGUGUAGCAUUGACACAAAACUGGCAAUACUUGUUAGGAAAAACCGGGAAAGAAAGUGAAUAGAACUUCUUGUUUGACAGUGCACGUAAAUUAUGCCCCUUCUACAUAUCCCCUCUCCAGCUAUGACAAUAAAGUGGGAAUAUAUAUUUAAAUUGAAAUCUGCAAGGAUAAAAUUGCAUCUACAAAGAGUUGCUAAUAAACAGCACUAGCAGCAGCAGCAGCAGAUGCUUGAAAAGGUUGUCCAGAUGUAGAUUGUAAAAGCAAGGAGGACAAUAUGAGAUCGACAAGGGACAAUACCACUAUAUAGGCUAAUAUGUUACAGGUAACAGUAAAAAGAAAACAUCUAUAAUACCAACCAGAAUGUUAAUUUAACAAGACAAAUGAUAAAUAAAUCUUGGGCAACAAUAUUGAAACAUCUGGCAAUCUGCAAUCUGAAGAAGUAUAUUACCUUGGCGAUUUUAACUAGUUGAUCAUAGUUAUCAUGGCCAUAGAAGAAUGGUUCCUUCCGGAAUAUCUACACAAUAAAACAUCAUAAGUCAUAACUACUCUAUUAUGCACCCAAAGUUGGAAAGUUUUGAAUGAAAGUUUAAUGCAUUUAAACUAGAAUAAUGGAAUUCCUCACCAUUCCUGCAAACAUACAACCAAGGCUCCACAUGUCCAAGGAAUAAUCGUAGUCCUGCAAAUCUACCAGAAGCUCGGGCCCUUUAAAGUACCUGAGAUGUACGGAAUGUUCUUAUAUUUUUUUGACAAGUACUAAUAUCUAAUGCCAGUCUGUUUCAAGGUCUCAAGGGAAAAAGCAAUCUUGAAAAUAUAAAAAGGUAUAUUAGGGGGUUAAGCUGGUCAUUCGAUUCAUGAUGUUUUCAAAGCAUUACCGAGAAGCCACACGAACAUUAUACUCUUUGCCAGGAUGGUAAAAUUCAGCAAGUCCCCAAUCUAUCAAGCGAAGUUUGCGCAGCUCAUGAUCUAUCAUGACAUUGUGAGGCUUGACAUCUCUAUGCAUUAUUCCUUGUGAAUGGCAAUAAUCUAAUGCCUACAAAGCAAAGAAAAAAUUCCUAUCAUCCUAUACUGCAAACAUGCAAAUCAUGAACCCUCUUAAAACUUCAAAAAGCCAGUCAGCUUUUGGAACCCAAUCAAGUGUAGAAUAGAACUACAAAUAAUAAGUUAAAAAAAAAAAAACAAUCACCAAAUGAAUACCAUGAUGGAGCAAAGUUCAAUACAUCAAAAGUUUGAGUGAGGAACAUGAUAUUACCUUGAGAAGUUCAUAUAUAUAGUAGCGAAUGUCAUAGUCAGUCAAAGUUGGGUAGAGAACUUUGAAAUCUGUACUGUUGACAUACUCAAAUAUCAAGCUUGGUGUUUUUGAGAGCUGAUCUCUUACAACAUCGAGAAGUUUAACAAUAUUCGGGCCACCACAUAGAUUCUGAAGGAUUUUAAUCUCCCUCUUAAUCUGCCAAUAAUAACAAUAAUAAUAGAGAUUAUUUCUAUAAUCUAUAGCCAAUGAUUCUCCGACACAGUUUUUCUUGAAAUACCCACAUCUAACAUAUAUUCGGGCAAAGGUAACCCUCCAAGUACAUAGAAAAAAUUUUAAACAAAUCUACCGUACUCAGGUCAAAUACACACCCCUGUCCAACAGUUACACCCAAGUCCGAGUAACAUAGUAUAAUUGCAAUUCUGCUUUAAAGAUUUUCUCAUAUAAAUCUACUCCAAAAUUAAUCAAAUCUGACAGAAAAAAAAUAAGUACUAACCUUUUUUUUCUUGACAGGCUUGAGGAUCUUUAUUAUACAACGCUCAUUGUUGUUGACAUUUAUGCCCUCGAAAACCUCACUGUAUUUUCCCCUUCCAACUUUUCGAACAACCUCAUAAUCAUCUUGAUCACUAAAACGGAUCAAGGUAAAACGAGAACACGAAGAAAGAACAAAGAAUUUACAUCAAUCACGAACUGAAUCGAACAGUUAGCUUAAAACAUUCGGUCAUAUGUCCAAAAAGUUACAAAAAUGAUUGAGGUAAGGGCAGUAAGAUUUAAAGAUCUCGUUAACCUAAUUCCACAAUCGUGAAUUGGCAUUACUUGAUGCAACCUAGCGUAACUUUCAAUUAAAUAAACCAAUGACAAAUCUGAUCAAGGAUCAAGGAAAGUAUUGAGGAAUUAAAUAAAAAAUUACCCCCAUUGAACAGCGAGAGACUCGUAAUCCCAGUACUCCUUGGGACGAAGAACGUUGACGUCAGUAUAAACGCGAGAUUUGGACAUGAUUCGCCGGCGACUGGAACAGGAGAUCUCGUCGAUCUUACUGUAACCGGCACCGGCGUGGGCGAGGGAGGGCGGGAGGCGACGAUGGCGCAAAUUAGCAAUAAGCAGAGUAAAAGUGGAGGGUUGGCGCUUCGCGUUUCAUUCAUUCAAGCCAGCCCAUUUAUUUUCCUUCCUAGAUGGUUAUUGGCUAAGCUUAGUAGGUUCGUCAGGCUUUGGUUUUAAGGGAGGACUACUCCAAACACCAAAAUUGUUCCGAAAAUUUUAAAUUUUGGAUAAAAAUAAUGUACCUCAAAAAUGAGUUUAAAUAAAAAAUAUAAUAGUCGCUUAAAAUCUGCGUUAAAUUCAAAUUUUAAUAUUCAAAAUUCGAGUUCAAUGGUCAAUUCAUUUCAAGUUUAUGUUAUUUAUACAAUUUAUAUCUUAUAUAAUUAAAUAUAUUGUUGUUGAUACGAAAUACAAUAAAGAGGAGAUUGUACUAAUUUGAAGGAAAUCGAUUCACCUUGAUAAGCAAAGAAUUGGAAAAAGACAAGGGGAGAGGAAGAAGGUCGUAGGAGCUAAGGAGGCUUGAUUGUAGAGAAUAAGUGCUCAAUGAUUUUUAAAAGGGAAAAAAUAUACCUUUUCCCAUCAUUUGGAAGGGUAUAUACAAAAGAGGUCCUCUUGUCCGCUUAUAUAUGUGGUAAGGUGGUUAUUGUCGUAUACAAUGAGGUUCAUUCUAUUAUUCCUCUAAGCAGUACGAGAUUGUUAUGCUUAAGUGGGUCCUAAUGAUCUCUGAAGAGAGUAUUCGCACUUAGAAGAAUUUUUACAUUAAAAAGCAAAUGGUUGAAUAGAAUGAGUGUUAUAACGGAUGGGAGGUACAAGUUACUCACAGGUGUCCACAUGGAGCCAUUUGAGUGUGUCACGUGUCUAGCCCGAAUGGUGGUAUAACAAUUAUAUUGUAAUGUAAAUAUUAAAAAAAUAUGUUAAAUUGAAAUUUAAAAAAAUAUAUAAUGGUAAUAAACUUAUAUAUAAUUAUUAAAUAUAAAAUAAAAAUUCUAUUUAAAAAAAAAACUUAAACAAAAACUUAGUUAAUCAUGUAUAAAUAUAAACCUUAUAUCUAAAAUCGGGCGGAGCUUAAACAACUGUAUCUUAUAAAACACAUGUAAUUCCCAUGGAAAUUUUUUAAGUUUAAAAUUAAAUUAUAUAUACUCUAAAAAGAUAAAUGAAGUGAUGCGGUCCCUAAGGCUAGGCUGAGAUGGAUGUGGAGCUUUGUUUGUUCCAAGCUCUGAAAGUAUUAAAAAUCAAAUUAGAUAGUAUAAACUUUUUAAAUAUUUGAAUUUGUAUGAAUGAAAAGGUUGGAUUUUUAUUUGAAUUAUAUUUUUAUUUUAAGAGGGUAACCAUAAAUGGAAAUAUAAAUUUUGUGUUUGAACGCACUAACUUGAGUUUCACACAAAAGAAAAAAAUUUUAAGUUUUAAAUCCUUCUGAAUUAAAUUAAUAAAAAGGAAACAUUCCCAAUUCAAAACAAACAUUAACAUCUUGGUGUUGAGAGCUGACACCACCAGUUUUUUCUCGGUUCGGUCCCUGCAUAUAAGAUAGACUUAUUCUUCUAGUGUACAAUAGGAAACAACUAAAACACUAUGGUGCACUAACAUUACAUGGUAAGCAUUUUGCAGGUUCAUCCACCCUGGUUUGAACUUUGAUGGCAAUUUGGCAAACAUGAGGGAAAUCAUGUAUGAAAUAAUGGAACUUUGUUUCCAAAUGGGCAGCAACCCCAUGUGACAUUGGCCCGCUUGGUCUCCUUUGCUAAGAUUCGGACCGCACCAGUUCAUAGGGUUAAUGUUAAAAACUCGCUUGGUCUUAAUGGGAUGUAGAGUUACAUCAGCCAAGUCGGUACCCUUGGCAACCAAAUUAUUUUACGUAAUGGGCAACAAUCGCCAGGCCUCACCAACGUACCAUACGAAUGCAUAGCAUGUGGAGCUGUUUUGGUUUACCUUGUUAAGGAUAGGUGUUGAGUCUUUGUUAACAAGGUGUUGAGUCUUUUUCAUGACUUGCAUGUAACAUCUCGCUUAACUUGUAUCCGACACAUCAUCAUCUAUUUAGAAGUAAUUAUGCCCCUUAAGUGCCAAAAAAUGGUGGUGGACUAGAUGGCAAAACUUAGGGUGAUGCAGGAGCAUUCACCGAGCUUCCAACUACUUGGGUCCAAAUUGAAGAAGAUGAAGCUAGACAAAUUUUGGGUUUUGAAAGCCUAAUGUGAUGCAACAUGAAGAGCCUAAUUUGGAUGGAAGAAUCUUAGUAGAUUUUUUCUAUGCAUUCAUUAAAUAAAUAGGAUGUGUUGACACCAUUUUUUUGAUGGAAAAACGGGGUCGACUUGGGUUUUGAAAAAUGAAACGGGAGUCGCCACCAAUCCUUUUUUAUGAGGUGUGAUUGGAUCACCUCAAAAAGUGGUUGUUUUUAAUAAACGGUUUGAUUUUAUUAAAACAACAAGUUUGGUCCACGAAAUUCAGAAAAACGGGUUCGAAAGUCGGUUACGCACGAGAAAAGAUUAGCACCCUCGAUACGCCCAAAAUUGGUACCUAGUUGAUUACUUAAUGUCUUAGUUCAAAAAACUGAAAACUUUAAAGAAAUUUAAAAAAAAACGAUCCUUGUAUUAAAACGUUAAAUUUUUUUCAGGAAAAGGGGCAUAUUUCGUGUUAUUCGAGAAAGAGAAUUAUAUCCAGUAAGUUGAGACAUAAUGUCUGGAAUUCCCGAUACGCGAAUGAAAAAUACUUAUUUAAAAGAUAUUUAACUAUCUUAGAUUAAAAAAGAGAUCACAACCAGUGAGUUAGGACAUGAUCCUUUUUUAAUUCUCGAUAUCGUUUAAAACUUAAGUUGGAAAAGAUUCGUGUAAUAAAGUUUAAAAGAAUAUUCAAUUGUUUAAAUCAAAUGAAGAAAUCGCAACCCAAUACGUUAAAGCACAAUUUCUCAAAAUAUUAAACAUUGAAUAUUACAUUUCUUUCGAAAAAUCCUCGCCUCGAGAAAACAACGUGUCACGUCCAAUGCGUUAGGACACAACGUAUUGAAUUAUUGAUAACGAGCUUUUAUCAUUUUAAAAAAAAAAAAAUCUCGAUUAUUUAGAUUCAACGAAGAAAAUCGGAACCCAAUACGUUAGAGCUCGAUUCUCUCAAGGAUCCCAAAUACCGAGUAUUACUUCUAUUUUUUUAAAAUUUUCCUUUUCAAGAAUCUAAGUAAAAAUGUAUGUAGUGGAUAAAUAAAUAAAUAAAUGAAUAAAUAAAUCAAACAAAUGAAAUUAUAAAAAAUGCAAGAAAUGUAUGGAUGUACACAUGUAUGUAUGUACAUAUAAAUUAUAAAAGGUAUAAAAAUAUAUUUUAGACACAUGUAUUUUUAAAGAAGAAAAUAAGUAUACGUAUAGACAUAUAUAUAUGAAUAUACAUACAUAAGUUACAAACUAUAUAAAUAUGCACGCAGAUAUAUAAAAAAAUAUAACAUACAAAUAUAUAUAAGUAUAUGAGUUAUAAAAACAAAAAGAUAUCUACAAGUGAAUAUAUAUUUUUAAAGCAUAAAAAAUAUAUAUAAAUGUAUAUACUCAUGGAAAUGGGACAUGGAUAUAGCUAUAUAGAUGUAUAAAAUAUAAAAUAUAAAAACAUAUGCAAGCAUAUACACGUAUACAAACGCAUAAUGGAAGUAUGUGCAUGUAUGUAUAAUCGUAUGUGAUAUAGCAAAUUUAAAAGCUUGAAAAUGCAAAUAAAACUUAAUAAUUUCAACAAGUAAGUAAACGAAAUAAUGGACAGGACUAAAUCGAAAAUUAAAACAAAUCUCAGGGUUAAAAUCUGUAAAUAAACAAAAGGAUGGCUCAGGACCAAAAUGGUACACUCUGAAAAGGGGGAAGGGUUGAUCAGGAAAUAUUCCCCUCCCCAGCAUGCAGUGUUUCAAUAUGGACUAAAAUGAAACACGCGAAAAACCAGGAGGCUAAAUUAAAAAAAACAAAUGGGACCAAAUUGCACUCAAACGCAAAAGGAGAAGGACCCCACGCGCAAAUAGCCUACAUCACGAAAACAUGCGGAUCCCCCUGGACCGGGUCGGAUCACGCGCGGGUCAUGGGGCUUAAACGGCGCCGUUUUGUUAUCUCAUUAAAACUAAUUUUUUUUUACAAAAAUUCAUUUUUUUCAUUUGGAAAUAAAAAGGUUUCAAAACAUUUUUUUUCUCUCUAUUUUCUUUCAAGAAAGACGACCCCUCCCCUCCCAUCUCUCAAAUCUCCGGCCAUUUAGGCCUUUUCGGCCUCCGGCGCACCGCCAUCGUGGCCCUAGGCCGACGGCGAGGGAAAAGGGCUACUCCGGUAUAUUUCUUUUCCUUCCCCCUUUUCUUUGUUUUCGUAUAUACAAGAAUAAAAAUAAAAUAACAAUAAUAAGAGAUUGAAAUCUAGAAAAAUAAGAUGAAAUCACCUUGAAACUAGUUUCUCUGUUUUUAUAUUUUUUGAAUCUCUGUUUCAAUCCGUUUCUUGUUACAAAAAGUCCCCUUUUUUAUCAAAAAUAAAGAUCGGUUCCCCCCCUUUUACAAACAUGAAGAUCCGCCACCAUUACAUUUAGUUUCAUGGCCUUUAUAGCCGGUUCACAUUUUUACUUUCUUCUACUGUUUCAACUGCUCGUUUGGUUUCUGUCUUUUCUUUCUUUUCAUUGCAGGUGGUGAUGGUGAUUGUGGGGUGGCAGAGAGCAGGUGGUAGAGGAGUGGUGGCAGCAGCGGCAAGUGGUUUGGGGGCUAGGGUUUCUGUUAGGUGUUUAGGUUUUGGGUUUUGGGCUGAGGUAUUGGGUUGAAAUGGAAUUUGGGUCUGUUGUUGAAUGUAAUUGGAUUGUUAAUUAAUUUUGGUUUGGUUGUAUUUGGGCUUGUUGGGCCCUGGGUCAAAAAUUGGGCCCUACAGGAUGCAAAUGCAUGCAGGAAUAUAUGUUCAUUAAACACAUGUAUUUAGUUUAUUUAAGAUAAAUCUCAUAAUUGUGCAUGUAUAUAGGAUUAGAUGCAUGUAUUUGAUCAUUAAUGUAAGUAUUAAUGUAUGCACUUAGCUUUUAAGUUUCCUAUGUUGGGGAAUGUCCCAAAUAGCUUAUAUAAAGGUAAACAAUAUAAAUGAGAAGAGAUAGAUGAGAAUUUAAUUCUAAACUCUUUC
RNAcentral lists this long non-coding RNA (59520 nucleotides) under Gossypium barbadense (sea-island cotton). Its description in RNAcentral is "long non-coding RNA (GBAR_LNC019780)". The record is from RNAcentral. Lineage: Eukaryota; Viridiplantae; Streptophyta; Magnoliopsida; Malvales; Malvaceae.